This 64978-nucleotide long non-coding RNA is filed under the name Nicotiana benthamiana. RNAcentral's name for it is "long non-coding RNA (NBEN_LNC021890)". Lineage: Eukaryota; Viridiplantae; Streptophyta; Magnoliopsida; Solanales; Solanaceae. The record is from RNAcentral.
AUGCGAUCUUCAGGACCAAAAGGAUGCCGGAGGAGUGGAGGUGGAGUACAGUGGUGCCCUUGUACAAGAACAAAGGGGAUGUCCAGUGCUGCAACAACUAUCGGGGUAUCAAAUUAGUAAGUCACUCCAUGAAGUUCUGGGAGCGGGUGAUCGAGGCGAGGGUGAGGGAGAUGACAUCUAUAACUGUGAACCAGUUCGGUUUCAUGCGGGGUCGCUCCACUACAGAAGCUAUCCACCUUGUCAGGAGAUUAGUGGAACAGUUCAGGGAUAAGAAAAAGGACGUGCACAUGGUGUUUAUCGACCUGGAGAAGGCGUAUGAUAAGGUCCCAAGGGAGGUGCUUGGAGGCGAAGAGCGUGCCGGAAGCAUACAUCAGAGUAAUCAAGGACAUGUACGAUGGAGCUAAGACUAGGGUUAGGACGGGGGGGGGCGACUCAGACGUCCCAAGGGAGGUGCUAUGGAGGUGCGUGGAGGCGAAGAACGUGCCGGAAGCAUACAUCGGAAUAAUCAAAGACAUGUAUGAUGGAGCUAAGACUAGGGCUAGGAUGGUGGGUGGUGACUCAGACCAUUUUCCAGUGGUUAUAGGGCUCCAUCAAGGAUCGGCGCUUAGCCCUCUCUUGAGGCUCUAACUCGUCAUAUUCAAGGGGAUGUGCUUUGGUGUAUGCUAUUUGCUGAUGACAUAAUCUUGAUAGACGAGACCAGGGCCGGUGUUAAUGAGAGGCUAGAGGUAUGGAGACAGACUCUCGAGUCUAAGGGUUUCAGAAUAAGCAGAUCUAAGACAGAAUACCUGGAGUGCAAGUUUAGCGUCGAGCCGAGCGNNNNNNNNNNNNNNNNNNNNNNNNNNNNNNNNNNNNNNNNNNNNNNNNNNNNNNNNNNNNNNNNNNNNNNNNNNNNNNNNNNAGGGGGACGGAGAGAUUGACGGGGAUGUCACUCACCGUAUAGGAGCGGGGUGGUCGAAGUGGAGGCUUGCAUUAGGAGUCCUGUGUGACAAGAAAGUACCACAGAAACUCAAGGGGAAAUUUUAUAGAGUUGUGGUUAGACCUGCCAUGUUGUAUGGAGCGGAGUGUUGGCCGGUGAAGAACUCAUCUUCAGAGAAUGAAAGGUUGCGGAGAUGAGGAUGCUCAGGUGGAUGUGUGGGAUCACCAGGUUAGAUAAGAUUAAGAAUGAAGUUAUUCGAGAGAAGGUGGGGGUGGCUCCGNNNNNNNNNNNNNNNNNNNNNNNNNNNNNNNNNNNNNNNNNNNNNNNNNNNNNNNNNNNNNNNNNNNNNNNNNNNNNNNNNNNNNNNNNNNNNNNNNNNNNNNNNNNNNNNNNGUGGUUCGGGCAUGUGCGGAGGAGAAGUCUUGAUGCCCCGGUGAGGAGUUGUGAGCGGCUGGCGGUGGUUGGUGUGAGGCGAGGCAGAGGGAGACCUAAGAGGUAUUGGGGAGAGGUGAUUAGGCAUGACAUGGCUAGAAUGCAGAUUUCCGAGGAUAUGACCCUUGAUAGGAAAGUCUGGAGGUUUAGUAUCAGAGUGUUAGGAUAGGGGCUCCUAGAAUUUUUCGUACUCCUUUUCCGGGGCUGGGAGGCUUGGCAGGGCUAUCCAUAGAUGAUUCGUAUAUUGGAUUGUGUCCUCCUUAUGGUAGUUAUUUAUGGUAGUUACUGUUUGGUAUUAUUUAUGGUAAUUACUGUUUAAUAUUAUUGUAUGCCAUUUUAUUUAUGGUUCUUAUGUUUAGAUAAUUAUUUAUGCGAUUUCAGCUGGAGAUACUAAUGAUCAUUUGUUUUUGUUUUUCCUUUCCUCCCCUAAGCCGUGGGUCGAUUGGAAACAUCCUCUCUGGCCUUCCGGGCAGGGGUAAGGCAUAUCUACAUAUUGCCCUCCACAAACCCCACUUUGUGGGAUUAUACUGGGUAGUAGUUGUUGUUGUAUCUAUAUUUCAAGUUUGCCUCAAUUGUUUUACAGGAGUACUAGCUUUCGUCCAUUUUCAGUGGCUAUUGGAGAGUAGGAUUAGUACAUUGCCCUUUCACUAUGACAUUUUGAGUGAUGUCGUACCAACCCUAAGUCCUCAACAUAUCUUCAUAUAUUAUUCAUAAUUCGUGCUUUCUCCCUGUAUACUUUCUCCAUUUGAUUUUUUUUCCAAUAUCAACUAGGGUAGGAUUAUCCCAAGGGUCUUAUAUAUUCUGAGAGGAGUUGUACCAAGUAGCAACCCUCACAGUACAUGACUCAAUUUUGUGUUCAUUUCUUGUUUACUGACUUUCUCUACGUGAUGUUUCUUUUAAUUGCCACUAUUCUUCUUUAACUUGCAGGAUCUGGAGAGAAUUCUUGCUGACAAUCAUGGGCUGCGUGAAAAAGAACCAUUCUUCCUUUCGAAAGCAAAUAAUGAGGUACUGAUUCUCAAUCCUGUGGGACAAGUGAUGUAUAAAUUUGGGGCCCAUUUGGGUUAGCUGAAUAAAAGCAGCAAGGGCUUAAAAACACUUUUUAAGUAUGGGAGCUGUUUUUAUGAAUAUGUAGUUACGCGUUUGGAUAAAAAUACUGAAUCUGAAAACAAGCAGUGAUGCAUUUGGCGAAAAAGUGUCGUUAAGAGCUUUUUCUGUUAAAAUUACUGAAAUGUCCUUAAAUCUGUUAAUAUUAAAAAUAUUGUUUUUAAAGAAUUUUCUCUGAAAUUUUUUGAAAUGUUUGUGUUUAGAUUUUUUUUUUUUGUGAUAAUUACCGUUUGUUAUUCUUUACUACUGACAAGUUUGCUUUUUGUUUGGUAAAAGGAAAUAGAGUCUCUAACUCCCAAAAAAAAAAAAAAAUAUUUUCAAGAAAUAUUAGUUGUGAAACUUGCUACUAACAACGGAGGAUGUGUUUUUUUUAGAAAGGGAUUCAAUCCUGAACCCUUGUCCCUUUGAAGACCAUCUGAAAUUGCAUUGAAUGGUCAUAAUUUCAAAAGCUCCACCAAAUCUCAACUAGCACAAUUAUCUUUUUCAAUUGCAUAAAUAAAGUGAGAUCCUUGUAGAAGCUUUAACUUUUUGAGAGUUUCAAGAAUAUCAACAAAAGAAGAAUACUCUAUAUGAUGGUUGCUUUCUAACUAAUGCACAGAAAACAAAAACAGUGUGAAGAUAAGUUAGACACACCACUGGUUUAUGCAAUAGAGAUAGCCAUGCAAGUCAAAGAUGAAAACUUGUGGAGGAAUAAAGAAGAAACGAAACUAGUAGAGUUGGGACCUUUUGUUAUGUAGGGUUCUUUAAAUUAUGGAAAAGUGUAAGGAAUAAAAAAGGUAAAAUCAUUGGUCAAACAAAAACAACUUUUAAGCCAAAAAACGAUAAGUUGGGGUUGCCCAGGUUAUGGCUUUUGGCUUGUUUUAAGCACUUUUACAACUUGCCAAACACUGAAAAGAGCUUAAGUGAUAGAGAUUACAUGGAGUUAACCUCGGGCUGACCUAACCACAAACAAAAAUAGACUCCUUGGACUGGCUAGAUUUCCUAAAUAAAUAUGGAGAAAUUGCCAUCAGACAUGCUUGAAGAAACAGCUGAAUGAUGCUAGGUUAAUUUCUGACUAAGUUGCUAAUAAAUGUCUAUUAAUGGACUAAAUAAACCUGAGAAGUAGUUCAAUGAAGAAAUAUCAUCUUGUGUACUUAAGCAAUCCAGAUGCUUGCUUUGACGUGAAAUACCUAGAGGGGACUAUUGAAAUAAUGUAAUUGUUGAAGACAUAAUUAAGUAAAUAAAAGUAUGUUCUCCCUUACGGCUUAAACUUUUAGAUGAGAUGGUCAUACACUUCAACAUGGUAUCAAAACCAAGAAGAGUUUUCUGGGUUUGAGUCUCACCACCACCAAAUAUCAAAAAGAAUUUUACGUGUUUGACUCAUAAAAAAGAAUCAAACCUGCAUGUGAGGAGGUGUGUUGAAGACAUAAUUAAGUAAAUAAAAGUAUGUUCUUUGUAAUAGCUUAAGCUUUUAGAUGAGAUGGUCACACACUUUGACAGUAGUACUAGUUAGUUUGAGAUCCUAUGUUAUUGGUUAACGCAAUAAGAGAUAGUGAUAUACAAUGAGCUUAAAGACAUCUCUGAUCUGCAUACAACAAACAAUGGUGGAUUGCAAAGUUAAGCAAAAUUUCUUGAAAGAGAAAAGACAAAUCUUCUACUCAGUAAGCCGAAGUUACUGCCAAAAAUAUUCUUGAUAAGUAUUGUGCAAGGCUUUCAGUGUUCUGUGAAUAUCUUUUACUGGUUCCUCCAUAACUUCUUAUCCUAUUUUUGGAGAAUGCUGAAAUUUUGUUCUUUUUGCAAUUUGGAUUACCAUGCUGGAAGAGCAUUCCUGCUUUAACCUGACAGUUGGCAGUUAUGCUUCUCUUUUCUGUAUACCAAUUAUCUUCAGCUUAUAAGAAAACUGUAGCGUAAACUUACGGUCAUGUACAUUGUUUCUUUCCCAAGUGUGGGAGCUGGGAGAAUUUAAGUUGAGAUAAUUGGGCACCACAAAGCAUUAGUUGGUGCUUGAUGAUAAUUGAUAAGUUCUGAACCUGUAGAGUUAGGCAUGAGAAAAUAGUGCUAAACAAUUCAUCUACAAAUUUCAAGGCCAAUGGAUGAGCUGAAGGUUGAGAGUUGCCUCAUCAUUUGAAAGCCACAAGAGACUGAAGAUUUGUGACUGUUUGGUCUGUUAAUGGAUAUGUUCUCUGCUUCUUUUCACUUGUGGCACAAUUUCUUUAGUACCUGUGAGCUGAUCAAGAAUUGAGCGAACCAUUGAAAAACUAAACUAACCUACAGAGCUUUUCUAUGCUUGGUGUACACUAAAUCUAGAUGUAUCAGAAACUUCAGCUCGGAGUUUCCUUCAUCUAUGUGCAUGAUUUCACUGCUUAUAACCAAUCCUUCUCUUUUGUAUUCCAAAUUUACAGAAAAGCUUUUACCUGUGCAGCCUGUGCUAGAUAAUUUCCUCGAAGAAUAUGGGAAAGCUUCAUCAAUGUCAUUUCUAACAGCUGCAAAUUAAAUAGGAAUGCCAAAUUUACAGAAAGCUUUUACCUGUGCAGCCUGUGCUUGAUAAUUUCCUCGAAGAAAACGGGAAAGCUUCAUCAAUGGCAUUUCUAACAGCUGCAAAUUAAAUAGGAAUGCCGCAUAUCACCUUCUGGCACGUUCAUGCUUGCAGUUGUCCACCGUCUGAUUUGGAUAUUUUAGCACAUGCAUUUCUUUAGCCAUUUAUCAAUGUAAGAUGUAGUUUUUUUUUUCUCGUUUCUUUUUAAUUUCUUUAUUUUUUCAUUUAUGUUUUCUUUCGUUUUAUUUUAUUUUAUUUAUCUUUUGCUCUGCCUCUUCAUGAGGUGUAAGAAGAGGGUUUGGAGAAAAAGUAAAUAGGGGCAUGUACUGGAUCGGCCAGUACUACAAUUUGUAGAUUCAGGUUGAGAAGAGAUGGCAUCCAUUUUUCCUUCUCAUCUUGGAUGAGAUUUUGUUUAUUUUCUUAACAUAUAUUUUACUAAUUUUAUUCUAGGAAGAGUUUAUUUAGUAAUAGUAAGAAUGUUUUUGCCUUGCUCUGUACACAAUUACUUGAGCUGAUAAAUUACUGUCAGUUUCUAGGGUUUGGAAAGCAAUGUCACCAGAAUUCUAUUGAAAUGCAUUAAUUUUUAGAAAAUCUGUCAGUCGUUUUUUAAUUCUUUCAUAGUGAUCUGAAUACAAGGUUUGAACCUUUGACAUCGAAUAUUCAUUUGUUUAGCGUUUCAUCUAGCAACGCAAACAAAGGUAUUUGUUAAUCAAUAUUGAAAUUAACGAAUUUUAUGUGUAUAUAUAUAAACAGCAAUAGAUUUAAACAUUGACCAAACAAUAACGUUCCAAGAAAUCCAAAACCUCCAACAAUAGUUCUAAUCUUUCAUAAGAGUGUGAAAACUAUCUCUGGCCCGCCUUUGAACAAGCUCUUCCACCAAUCACAUUUGUUUUGCUUAGUAAAAAGAAUUGAAACUUCAUUUCUGAUCUUCUAAACUCCAAUAACACUCAUCGCCUUUCACUGCCUUGAAAAAUGGGGGUUUUGACACCGUUACAUACAAAAAGGUAAAAAUUGCACGGGGUGCCUUAUUUGGGUGCUCCUUUUUAACUUGUAGUUGUUGUCUUUUUGUUUGCAUUCGUACCUAUUUUUUAAAAAACUUCAGCUUCCCUUUAUAACUGAAAAAUUUCAGCUCUAGAGUUGAAGUUUUUAUUUUAUAACUAGAGCUGAAGUUUUCAGGUUAUUAAAUAAAAAAUUUAGUUAGAGUUGAAGUUUUUAUUUUAUAACUGGUAAAUUUAAGCUGGAAAAUUGCUUAAGUUUUUAUUUUAUACCUUGAAAACCUAAGCUGGAAAACUGCUUAAGUUUUUAUUUUAUAACUGGAAAACUUAAGCUCAAGAGCUUAAGUUUUUAUUUUAUAACUGAAAAACAUAAGUUGGAAAACUGCUUAAGUUUUAUUUUAUAACUGGAAAACUUAAGCUUUAAAGCUUAAGUUUUUCGGUUACAAAGACAAAAGCUUCAGCUGAAAUUUUCCAGUACAAAAGAAAAACUUCAGCCCCGUGGGCUGAAGUUAUGUGAAAAAGCGGGUACGCUUGCAAUUUUUUUUUCAAAGCGGACACAAGUUAAAAUAUGACACAAAAAACGGGUAUAGAUGCAAAUGCCCCUACAAAAAUAAAACUAUUUACCCUUGUUUACCCAUUUAUUUUUCUACCCAUAAUCUAAUUACAUUUCCUAUCCAUAAUAGUUUUUGUAGGAAAAUUUUUCUUUAUUCUUCAAUUCUUUUUUAUUUCAAUGCUUCUUUUCUUUUUUCAUUUUUUCUUUUCUUUUCUUUUUCCUUUUCUUUUUUCUCAUUUUCUUCCUAUUUUUUUAUUUUUCUCUUUUAUUCACUUAUUUUUGCCCAGAUCGUAUUAUUGUUAUUUUUUUUCACACUCAAAUUUGACUCCUUUAUUUUUUUUAUUUUUUCUUUAUUUCUUGUUCUUUUUUUUAAUUCCACGCGAUUGCCAUGGAAACAUUGAUCUCCUCCCCUGCAAAUAUUAGUACAUACUCUACUAUUAACAGUAACACCAACUAGUGGUGGAGCAAGACAAUAUAAUCACGGCCGUUAAAUCUCCAUAUAUACUAGUUAGAAUAGAAAUGAAUCAAAUGAUAAUAAAAUAUUAAAAAAUACAAUAAACGUAUAAGUAGCAAAAAAGACUUCUAGUACCACAUGAUACCAAUAUGGUAUACAUGUAUACCGACAUAGUAUAUAAUUGCUCUAGAAUAUUGUUACAACUAUCUAUGACUAUACUACUAUACCAAAACAUUAAAGGAUACAAUAAAAGUAUGAGAAAAUUACAUGCUCGCAUAGCAAGCUAAAUAUUCGCAAAGCAACUUGCUCAUUUCAUACACUAACAGGGUAUAUAGUUGUAUGGGACGUUCCAACAAUUGCCUAUAAUUAUAAAAACACAUAAUCUAUGACACACAUAAUCUAUAUCCAUCAGCACAAAAUUUUCCAGCACUACAAAUCACGUUCAUAUAAAUAAUUUCAUAAUAGAAUUCACUUAAAAAUACAGCAAAAACAACCAAAAAAAUAUUCAAACUACCAUAUGAUACCAAUAUGGCAUAUAACUAUACCAACAUGGUAUACAGUUUUACUCUAAAACAAUCAAAACAAUAUUCAAACUACCAUAUGAUACCAAUAUGACAUAUAACUAUAUCAACAUGGUAUACAACUUUAUUGGUUAAUUUCCGGCAACUAUAUGAAUAUACUACUAUUACAUAACACACAUGCAUAAAGAGAGAAAAAAAAUAGUGUACUAUAUAUUAAUAUAAUAAAGUAUUUUAAGAUAUUGAACUAUAUUACUAUUAUUAAAAGAAAAUUAAAUAUUGUACUAAUAAAUGCACCUAAUACGACCAAAAAAGUAAUUCAACUAGCAUAUGAUACCAAUGUAGUAUAUAGCUAUACUAAUAGGAUAUAUAGUUGGAAUGAAUUAUAUACCAAAAUGGUAUAUUUGUAUACUAUUUGAGUAUACAAUAUAAAUUCCUCUUCUUCUCUUGUUCAACUAUAUUUCAACCCAAACUUCUAAAAUCUACUAUAAAAUCUCCACCAAAUUGACUAAAACUAUAGCUACAACCUCCAAUAAACUUUUCAAACAAAUCCAUAUAGGAUCAGAUCAAAAUAAUUAAAAACUCAAACAAACCAAGUUAUGAGUUUCAAGCUUCAAGGUCCUUCAAUGGUGAAUUUGGAUUUUUGUACAAUAAAUCUCCAAAAAUAAGUUUGGGUGAAGAGAAAGAAGAAGGUAUUAGUGAGAAACAAGUGUGAAAUGCCAUUGAUGAUGAACCUUAGAAUACUACAAUAAGAGAAAAUCAUUUUAGAAUUAAACCCCAUAAUUGAAAUGGAAACGAAUUCAAGUGUUAACUCUAGAAAACUAAUUGGUUUAUAGAAGAAGAAGAAAAUAGAGGAAGAAUGGAACUCUAUUUACAGCUCUAAGCACCAUCCCUCUCGUGCUGACUUCCUUCCCAAAUUUAUAUUCGGUGUUGUUCUGCUUGCUAGAUUUCUUCCUCUUCUAUUUCAUUUUAACCGGGUAAAUAGUUUGGGCUCCAUGGGUAAGAGUAGUAAAUAGUUUGAGCCUAGGCAUUAAAUAUUAAAUAAUUUAGAAUUAAUGCGUAUAAAGUGAGAUUUUCUCUUGAAAAAUUCACCAUCUGUGGUUAGUGGUUGGCCCAUUAGUCCAACUUUGAGGGAAAUAUUCUUGAUGAUCUUGAUUUUGUACAUUGUAUAGGGUUAAAUUUGGCUCGUAACGCCCCCAUGCCAAGUGGGUGCAUCCCCUAUAAUAAGGUCACGACCCAAGUUGGUGAAGAAGAAGUGACGUCGUUUAGUAUCUGACCUUUCUACUAAGUGGAAGCCACCAACUUUUGUACUUUUUGAUUAUUUCAAGGAAGGUCUCCUACUAUAUAAAGGAGACCUUCACAUUGUAAUAGGCAUCAUUGUUAUUCUCGUAUAAUACAACUUCUCUCUAUCUCUAUCUCUUUCUUGGUUUUCCAACCAUUGCUUCUUUCUUAAGCUAAGUCCAUUUUCUACAAACUUUCGGAUCUACUAACAAUUUGAAGGGAUAAUCAUCUCUUGGGCUAAUUAUAUUUGAUUACGAUUUACACUCAUAUAUUUUCAAUUGUUUUAAGCUUAUAAAGCACGAGUAUAAUUUUUGAGCUAAAUAAUUUGGCGCCAUCUGUGGGGAUUUAGAGAAUCAAAAUCAUAGUUUUGCACCUAGAGAACCAUCGAAAACCCGUCUCAACAACACAAAAACAAAAAAUGGCUGACAACAACUCAAGAAUGAAAACAAUAGUCGAUGUUGAAACCAAUCUCAUCGGUCCUAUCAAUGAAGCCGGUGAAUAUGGGGUUUUGAUUGCAACCCCUAGCACCACCACAAGUGGAGAAAUCCCACCUCCACCACCCGAAGACCUAAAUCUUGCGGGAGAAAGGCGCUUCUACAUCCACGUCUGAAGAAGCACCCCCAGAGGUUAGGAAACUACUGGAAGAGUGGUUAACGAGCACUCUAAGCGGCUUGGUUGAGAAGUUAACCCAAAACAAUAUCAGAUGCAGGCCGACCGCAGAUCUUGCUACAGUCGAAGGUGAACCCGAAAUCGCAGGAACAAACAAUGCGCUCCUAGAUACUUGGGCCAAUGGUGGCACGCUCACAGCCAUCCUAAAAAAGAUGGAGGAAAUGGAAAAUGAAAACAGGUCACUCCGUGACCAAAUGAAGGAACAUCACGAGAGGGUGGACAAGAUCCCUGGUGCCCCCAAACUGCUGCCAAAGCGUGAUGUGGGAAGGUUCGUUGAACAACCCUACACGGAAGAGGCUACACUGUACUCCAUUCCAAAAACUUUCAAAAUGCCGCCUUAUUUGAGAGUGUACAACGGAACUACAGACCCCGAGGACCACUUGAUCCACUACGUCAUUGUCGUAAAAGGUAUCAACCUGUCCAAAGAACAGGUACAGUCUGUGCUGCUGAAGAAGUUAGGUGAAAUACUAACAGGAGGAGCACUGACCUGGUAUUCCCAGCUACCGGCCAAAAUCAUUUCCACGUUUAAAGAAAUGGCGAAAAGUUUGUCACCGCCCAUGCAGGAGCAAAAAAAGCAUAAGCGAGGGUUAGCGACAUCUUCGUCGUUCGGCAAACCGUAGUGGAAGGACUCAGGGACUUCCUAGCCAGGUUUAACAGAGUAAGGAUGAGCCUAGCAAAUGUGUCAGAAGGAAUCGCGGUCACCGCUUUGCAAAACGGGUUAAGCAUGGACGACUCAAGGUCAAAUAAAAAACUACUAAGUCGCCUCAUAAAGUACCUGCCCACUUACGUGGAAAGAGAUUCACAAUGCCUGUUGCAGUGAAGUACGUGCAGAUGAGGACGAUCUCAACGAGCCGACCCAACGUUUAACGAUAAUACAUCCAAAAAUUAGGAGGGACCGAUGCAAUGAAGGAUGACGAGAACAAAUCACACGUCCCAAUAGGGAGAUACACCAACCCUACAUCAGAUCCUCUCACCCACCGUCACCCAGGCACGCGGAUGCACUACAGCGAUAUGUCGCCCCACUACGAAACGACAGAGGUUUGUCCCCUUUAUUAUCUGCCCAUAAUUUUUGUGUGUCCCCUUCAGAGAUAGUGUACGCACUUGAGAGUUCCUCUCACCCACCGCCACCCAGGCAUGCAGACACACUACAGCGACAUGUCGCUCCACUAAGAAACGACAGAGGUAUGCCCCCUUUAUUAUCUGCCCAUAAUUUAUGUGUGUCCCCUUCAGAGAUAGGGUACGCACUUGAGAAGCUGAGUAACAAGGUGCAAUGACCGGCAAAGAUAAAGUCGAACCCCGUCAAUAGAAAAUUAAACGCCUUGUGCGAGUUCCAUUAGGAGCGAGGACACAAAACUGAAGAUUGUAUAGGUCUACGGAAAGAGGUGGUCAGGAUGUUGAACCAAGAGUUCCUUGGAGAGUUUCUCACUGACAAAGGCAAAAUCAACUUCGUACAUAGACGGGAGCAGCACCACAGGCCACCAAAGCCGUCUUCGCCAACACACACGAUCAACAUGAUGAUUGUAAAUGGCGACAACUCGGUGACCAACCACAUCAAGUUCACCACGAUGCACAAGCUGAAGCAAACUACCCCCACAGACGAUAUGACGACUUCGAAGAUAGUAUCACCUUCGUUAAGUCCGAUGCCAACGAUUUGUCUUUCCCUCAUUACGAUGCUUUAGUUAUCACUUUACGUAUCGCAUAUAUGGAUGUUAAAAGCAUUAUGGUCGAUGAUGGUAGUGACGCCUGUAUUAUCCACCCGAGGGUCCUCGUACUAAUGGGACUCGAGGAUAAGAUAAUAUCACGCUGCAUAACACUAACUAGUUUCAAUAAUGCAGUAGAAUAAACCUCCGGGGAGAUAUCACUACCCGUCCUAGCAGGAGGGGUCACGCUGGAAACAACUUUCCGUAUUAUCCACCCGAGGGUCCUCGUACAAAUGGGACUCAAGGAUGAGAUAAUACCAAGCUGUAUAGCACUAACUGGUUUCAAUACUACAGUGGAAUAGACCUCCGGAGAAAUAUCCUUGCCCAUCUUAGCGGAGAGUCAUGCUGGAAAGAACUUUCCACGUGAUGAACCAUGAAACGACAUACAACGCCAUCAUAGGACGACCGUGGAUACAAUCCAUGAGAGCGGUUCCGUCGAGCAUUUACUAAAUGAUAAAAUUUCCCUCCCCGUGGGGAGUAUUCAGCAUUCGAGGCAAGCCUCGCACUGCUCAGGAAUGCUAUAAAAUAGCUCAGGACUGCGCCCACACCAAACAACUUAAAGGGGCGAGCGCAGACGCAUAACAAUCAGCUAUGUCGGGGACUAAGGUCCACCAUAUAGAGAACGCCAUUAAAGACCCCGAUGUUAUUGAAGCCUAUAAGUCCACGGUCGAAGAUCUCGACCCAGUCCAACUAGACAACAACGACCCUACAAAGAAAGCUUACAUCAGGCGCGGCCUCUCAAAUCCAAGUAAGUAUCGUGAAUUUUUAUCUAACUAUGCAGACCUGUUUGCUUUUUCCCAUUCAGAUAUGUCAGAGAUCCCGCGAGAAAUCGCCACUCACAACCUGAACAUCGACCCGCUACACCCGCCCGUGCGGCAAAUGAGAAGAAAAUUCAAUGCGACAAUCAACAAAGCGGUCAGCGAGGAAGUGGACAAACUUCUGGCCAACGGCUCUAUCAGGGAAUUAAUGUACCCACAAUAGGUUGCUAAUGUCAUCAUGGUUAAGAAGAAGAAUGGGAAGUGGAGAAUGUGUGUAGACUUCACCUACUUGAACAAGGCAUUCCCAAAAGAUUCCUUCCCACUGCCCCACAUCGACCUGCUAAUAGACGCGACUACAGGGCAUGAGCUGCUAAGUUUCCUACAUGCAUACUCCAGCUAUAACCAAAUCAUGAUUGCCGAAGAGGACCAGGAUAAAACAACUUUCAUCACCCACCAAGGGACGUACUGCUACAAGGUAAUGCCCUUCGGGCUCAAGAAUGCAGGAGCCAUGUACCAAAUGUUGGUCACCAGAAUAUUCAAAGAACAACUCCGCAAGACCGUAGGAGUCUACAUUGACGAUAUGCUGGUAAAGUCAUCAAAGAAAGAGGACCUUAUCGACCACCUAAAAUAGGCCUUCGAGAUAUUGACAAGGCAUCGAGGUUAAUCCAGACCAGAUCAAGGCGAUAGACGCAAUACCUGAGGUGAUGAGUAGCAAUAAAUAGGUACAGAAGCUGACGGGGCGUACAACCGCCCUGUUCGGAUUCAUCUUGCGGUCAUCCGAUAGGUGCCAUUAAUUCUUCAACGUACUAAAAAAGAUCAAGGACUACAAUGGAACGAGGAAUGCAUCGAAGCCUUGAGAAAGCUGAAAGAAUACUUGUCUUUGCCGUCCUUGCUUGUCAAACCGAGGCCCGAUGAACCCGUGCUGGUGUAUCUGGCCGUAUCCGAGGUCGCUGUUAGCGUCGUCCUAGUUUGCAACAACAAAGGUACACAAUCCUCUGUCUAUUACAUUAGCAAAACCUUAGUGGACGCUGAAACUCAUUACCCACACCUCGAGAGAUUGGCAUUGGCACUGGUCGUAGCUUCACAAAAGCUAUGGCCAUAUUUUCAGUGCCACCCCAUAAAAGUGGUAACGACCUUCCCAUUAAGAAGCAUCUUACACAAGCCUGAAUUAUCGGGCUGGCUCGUAAGAUGGGCCAUUGAGCUCAGCGAGCUCGACAUCUCGUAUCUUCCAAGAAUCACCAUUAAGUCACAAGUUCUGGCCAAUUAUAUAGCUGAAUUUAGCGUAGAAAUCUUGUCAAAGGCAGAACUUGAGGCACAACAUGCCUCUACCAAUAACGACCUAUGGGUCCUCUACACUGGUGCCACUGCCAUUGCAUCAAGAUCGGGACUGGGACUCGUCCUCGAGGUACCUAAGGGCAAAACAAUUCGCCAGUCCAUACGAUGCCCUGAAAUGACUAACAACGAGGCCGAAUAUAAGGCCGUUAUUGCAGGCAUGAAACUGGCCAUCAUGGUCCGGCUUGCAAGAUGGGCCAUUGAGCUCAGCGAGCACGACAUAUCGUAUCUUCCAAGAACCACCAUUAAGUCACAAGUUCAGGACGAUUUUAUAGCUGACUUUAGCGCAGAAAUACUGCCAAAAGCAAAACUUGAGGCACAACAUGCCUCCAAUAAUGACGACCUAUGGGUCCUCUACACUUAUAGCAUCGCCAAUGCAUCGGGAUCGGGACUGGGACUCGUCCUCGAAGUCCCUACAGGCGAAACAAUUCGCUAGUCCAUACGAUACCCUGAAAUGACUAACAACGAGGCUGAGUUUGAGGCCGUUAUUGCAGGCAUGAAACUGGCCAUCAAAUAUGGGGCCCGCGGACUCAUCCUCCACUACAAUUCCCAACUCGUAGUAAACCAAGUCACUUGGACUUACCAGAUCAAAGAACUAAGACUGCAAAAAUACCAGCCAGAAUAUGCAGGUUAAUAGCUGAGUUCGACGAAUGCCACCUGGAACAGAUCCCAAGGGCAUAAAAUAUUGAGGCAGACGGUUUAGCAAAAGUGGCUACGGCGACUAAGAACUUCAACAAAGAAAGUGUAGUCACCCUCCUCCACUCCACCAUUGAUCACACCGAGGUAUUCUCUUUAAAUUUGACUUGGGACCGGCGCAACCAGUUUGUAUCUUAUCUACAGGACGGAAUAACGCCACCCGAUAAAAAAGAGGCGAAGAAACUUCGCAGGCAAGCCGCUCGGUAUUGCUUAAUAAACAACGACCUCGACAAAAGAAUGUUUGGGAGACCCUUGGCUAAGUGCCUAGGGCCGCACCAAAUAAGGUUUGUACUCAAAGAAUUACACAAGGGUCACUAUGGUGCCCAUACAGGUAAUCAUGCCCUCGUACGAUGCAUCAUACGUGCCUGCUACUACUAGCCCACCAUGAAGAAGGAGGCAACAGAGUACGUUCGCCGAUGCGAACAAUGCCAAAAAUAUGACCCCAUGAUACACCAACCAGGAGAGCCCCUCCAUUUAGUCACCUCCCCAUGGCCUUUCAUCAAAUAGGAAAUGGACAGUCGGCCCCUUGCCCGCUUGACAGGGAAAAGUACGAUUUUUAUUAGUUUUAACUGACUAUUUCUCUAAGUGGGUAGAAGCAGGUGUGUACACACAAAUACGAGAACAAGAGGUGAUCGCCUUCAUAUCGGAAAAUAUAAUAUGCCGCUUCAGCAACCUCAAAGAAAUCAGUUGUGACAACGGACGAUAGUUCAUCGGCCAAAAAUGACUGAAUUCUUUGAGAAAUGGUGCAUCAAGAGGAUACUUUCGAUGCCAUAUCUCCCUGCCGCCAACGGCCUAGCAGAAUCCUCCAAAAAAAAUAUUACACAUACAGAAGAAGAAACUCGAGGAUGCCAAAGGGCUAUGGCCCCACUUGCUACCCGAAGUGUUGUGGGCAUACAAGACCACAUCCAAAUCCAGCACGGGGGAAACACCGUACUUGCUGGUCUACGAAGCCGAUGCGGUCAUACAGGUCCGCGAACCAAGCCUAAGAUAUUCGCACAUCAAUGGAAUGGAAAACAACACAAACAGGCUUCAAGACCUCGAUGAUGCUGGGGAAAGGAGAGAAAUGGCCCAUAUCAGAAUGGUGGCCCAAAUACAACAAGUCAAAAGAUACUACAACAAGAGGGCCAAAAUAAGACCACUCAAGGUAGGAGAUUACGUCCUCGAAACCAAGACAUUGGCAUCCAAAGCCCAAGCGAAGAGAAACUGGGCACCAACUAGGAAGGACCCUACAAAAUCACAGCAGUAGCCGGCAAAGGCGCAUUCCAGCUGGAAACGAUGGGAGGGAAAACACUCCAAAACAAAUGGAACGUUUCUCACCACAAGUAUUUCCAUUUCUAAGAGGUGUCUCCCGAGUCGUACACUUUUUCACUUACUCGAGUUUUAUCCCAAUUGGGUUUUUUCGGGGAGGUCUUUAACACGAUGGCGGAGGGGACACCUAGAGAUAUUUGCGGAACAAAUUUAUCAUAUCAACCUCUCCUUAUGACCUCCAGGCCGACAUGACAAAUGGACUGGACUAGCUUGAUAUCCAAUGUAUGAAUGCUACGUCCGUCUCCAAUGUAUGAAAGGCUACGACCAUCUCCAAUGUAUUAAAGGCUACGGCCAUCUCCAAUGAAUGAUAGGAUACAUCCAUCUCCAAAUGUAUGAAAGACUAAGGCCAUCAAUUCUACACAGCUAAUGUCGUCAAGUAAAUUAUGGCUAAGUCCAUCACCGCCAACGGUCGACCUACAUUCGACUACGGUGAGUAAACGACUCAACGACAGUAAAAAGCUUAAUCAAGCAUGUCCGUCCAUUGAAGACGAACAUCGAGUACGUCUCUAACGAACAGAAGGACUAACUGUAUAAGCUUAAAUUUGGCUUAUAACGCCCCCAUGCCAAGUGGGCACAUCCCCUAAAAUAAGGGCGACCCAAGUGAGGGUACGUGCCAAGUUGGUGAAGAAGAAGUGAUGUCGUUUAGUGCCUGGCCUUUUUACUAAGUGGAAGCCACCAACUUUUGUACUUUUUAAUUAUUUCGAGGAAGGUCUUCUACUAUAUAAAGGAGACCUUCAUAUUAUAAUAGGCAUCAUUGUUAUUCUCGGAUAAUAAAACUUCUCUCUCUUGGUUUUCCAACCAUUGCUUCUUUCUUAAGCUCAGUCCAUUUUUCUACACACUUUCGGAUGUACUAACAUUUUAAAGUGAUAAUCGUCUCUUGGGCUUAUUAUAUUUGAUUACGAUUUACCCUCAUAUAUUUUUGAUAGUUUUUGAGCUUAUAAAGUACGAGUAUAAUUUUUGAGAUGAACAUACAUGGAGGAACUGGGACAUUGAUGGUGACUUCUUGAAGGGAAAUAAUUCUCCAUGUCGAGGCCAUUCGACUUGUUUUGCUUUAGCUUCUUGUUUUCUUCUUCGUUGGGUGCUGAAGAAGAAUUUUCUUUUUUGUUAUUUAUAGGCUUCAUGGAUUGUUCUGCCGUAUAGUCCAAAAGAACUGCCAUUCUUGAAAAAUAUCAAACAUUUCUUUUAAGAAUAUGAGAGGAGAAGUGAUCAUGUCCAACUAUGCCUCCUAAGAGGUUUGGUGGUCGUUACAAAUAUAAUCUGGUUUACAAGUUCGGAGUCGAAUCCCACAGGGAAUUAAUCUACUAGUAUUAACCACUAGUUUUGCAAUAAUUCAAGUAUUCAACCUUCAAAAAUGAUAUAUAAUGUUUUGGGUGUUUGCUAACUAAAGGCAAGGUAAUUAAAAAGCUGUAAUUUUAACACUACCACGGCAAAUGUUGUAGACAAGAUUAGAAGGGUCAAGGGUUUUAAUUUCCCCUCUCGUCGAAAUCCUCCCUGCCACGUCUCAUAUAAAUUCGACUAGAUAUUCUCUACUGAUCAUGAACACUUUAGGUGUCGUAAUUCUCUUUCGAGCAAAUACAAUAAUUUACUAGACGUAUUCUUGCGAACUACGCUAGAUGUCACUAGUUUACCACUGACAAAGAUCGUACCAAGGUUUCGUUAUUCCUAAUCUCACCACUAAACCCUCUAUAUUGAUUCCUCAUAUACGUUAUAAGUGAUGUUGGUCAACAAAUACAUAAAUAUGUACCCUUUUCCAAGCUACACACUAAUUAGGCACAAUUAAUUGAAGGCCUUUCAAUCAAUAACAGUGAAAAUAUAGUUGAACAAGUAGAGAAAAAUCAAAACAAAUUAAGACCUUGCAUACGCAUUCAUACCUUUCCCAACUUUCACAUGCAGGAAUAUUAAUGACCAAUUAAAAAUACUCAAACAAUCUGCACAUAACCAUCCAACCUCAAAGACCAAUGCAUCGCCAAUAAGCACUCUCAACUCGUGCACUCACCCAACCAAGAUGUUUAAUAACGUCACCUAUCCGUCAUGGAAUCAUGUGCCUCACCAAAAAAUAAGAGAAUAUUGCGUCCACACAUUCAAAUAUGCAUUCAAAUAUAAUUAAGGACAUCACAUAUAUGAAUAAAGAACCACUCACUCUAACAAAGAAAUUCAUGUGCAUUCCAUAGUUGUACCAUAGGUUUGACUGUAUUGUAUAUCCUCACUAAAUCUAAGCUAGUAAAUUCUAAGAUCAAUUAGGCCUUUAUGGGUUGUAAUGUAGGCUAAGGGACAUAUAUGAUAUAUUUAGGGUAUAGUGACUAAUCCUCCGAAGCACUUUAAUACACUACACUUACUUCCAAAUACACACUUUUCAUGACCAAAUCAAGCAAUGUCACGAAACCAUAUACAACUUGGCCUUCUUCUUAAUCAUAACUAUGCAUUCAUUAUCCCGGAUCACGAUGAAUAGGAGGUGUGUUUUCUAUAUAUAUAUUUUUCUCUUUUUUUUCCAACACUUCCAUAAAAUUAGGUUGCCCCGCUAAUAAUCUUCCAAAUCAUACAUGCACCCUUUGGUCUUUCCAUGGAUCCACUCAAUAGCUAUCCAACUCUCACCUUACUCUUCUAGCGGCUUAAGUGCUUCCGAAUGUAAAGGUUCGAAAAGAUUUCAUUUAAGAACAAAAUGGGAAUCGACUUUUAAUGUGGGUACCAAAGAAAAAGCUUAUUGGCUCAAACAAGCUAUCUAAGGAUAAUUUUAUUUAUGGUGGCAUAAUAGCUCAAUGGACAAUCAAAGAAAUGCCUACCUUAUCUCCUAGACUCAAAAUCUUACUUAUUUCGUUUCGACUAACACACAUGAAAAGUUAUAGACAAGCACAAGAUAGCACAGAGUGUGAUCAAAAUAUUACAUCACACGACACACAUGACUCCAGUCGGGACGGUUGCAUUCCAACUCUCAAAUUUAAGGAAGUAAUUACAAAUUUCAAAAAGUAUUAAGCAAUAAAACACUACAUAAUAAUGAGUCAACUAACUGAGUGCAAGUUACAGACCGGCUAUUCAUCUUUCAUGUCAUCAAUUUCCAUCAAAGCAUGUUAUGAAGAAAAUUUGCAUGCUAAGGCCUAAUUAUGCUGGCAUCAAACAAGUCAAAGGCACAUAAGAGCACUCAAGUUUUCUUCCCUCAAUUUUCUAAAAAAUAAAAAACUACCCGAUUCAAGUUACAUCCCUUGAAAAAGAAUCGAUGCCAAAAAAAUCAAGGGGGAUUAUUACCACGACUAACUAAAAAAAGUAUUUUUUUGAAUUAUUUUUUUAUUGUACUUUAAUCCCUCAAGAAACUGUACAAGAGAUCAAUCGUCCGAAAUAGUCUUAUUUUUUUAUUUUUUUAAAAUAACAUAUUAUAAUAUCAUAGAAAAUUACUCCGACAAUCUCCUUACCCCACUCUUAAAAUUGUGCAUUAUCCACAAUGCACACUAUAAAUAACAAGAGGGUGAAGGAAACGCCCUGGUAGGUCAAAGGCCGAAGCAUCAGCAACUCAUGGGAUAUUCAGACUUCUCAUGCGGGUGUCGACACUCCAUUUUUCUAAGAGUCAAAAUCAGGUAUACGAAAUUUGGGAGGACAACUCUAUUCCUUUUCGAGAAUUGGAUUUUGGAGUUGAAGAGUUGCCACCUAAGAUUAUAGUGCAGUAGGACACUUUUAAGAAGGGUUUGAGAUGAAGAAACCAGAGAUUAGGGUAAAUGCUAGAAAUUAUAUCGAAGGAGAGGUAUUAGGCACCCCUCAAGAUCCUCUAGUCUGGUCACAACCAUGUUAUAAUUGUGACUUAACAAGUAACAAUCAAGGAUCAAAGAAAUACAUUGCAAUUAAAUUUAAACGUAUGAAAGUAAGUAGAAAGAAAAAACUUUAAACAAUUCUAAAGAUAACAAACAAAUGCGAACAAAGGAAAGGGGUCCUAGGUUUAUGACUAGUAUAGAAUACUUCAAUGCAAUACCCGGCAAUCACUCCUCAAAGAGGGGUUGCACGUUAUAUUAGCACAUCGGUCAUCAUCUACAUAUUCUACCCUUCCCACCCCGUAAAGGUUAUUUAUACGCGUGGAUCGGUCACGAAUGCAUAUUGCGUGCUAUACCCGUCCCAUCUUAUAAGUCCUAGAGGGUAUUAGGACCACUCUUCUUAAAAGGUGAGGACUAGGCUGGACCCUUAGUUAAAGUACAAAAUACUAGGCGUCAUUCAUAACAGGUAGGACUACACAUAAAGGGAAUAAUGCAAAGAAGUAAAUAAGAGGCUCAGCAAUCCCUCUACAAAAAACAUGUAAUUAGUACAUCUCAAACACAAUUAAGGUAUAAAAAGGAGUUUAAAACAGGGAGGUCGGAAGAGAUAAGUUGCAGAAGAAUCAUAAGAUUUAAAACUAAGUGCCUUGAAGAAUGUCUGAUUUUCAGAAAUGUGAAUAAAAGAUGGUAGUAAGUUGCAGCAGUUCAGGAAUUAGUAAAAAAAAGUAUAGAUAAACUUGUUUAAAACAUUCUUCGAAAAUACAGUAGCAGUGUUUGUAGUAACUUGCCAAUAGCACAAUUCUGGACAAGUAACAACUCUGUAAAAAAAUAAGCAUGAUAAAGCAGAGGCACGGUUACGGGAUAAAAAUGAGACUGUAGUUUUAACAGAAUAAAUUUUAUUGAAGCAAACAAAGGACGAAGUUCAUAAGUUAAAAGAGGCUGAGUAGUCUGAAGCAUGAUUAAUCGAUUUAUAUUAGGCCUAAAGUUUGCCUAUGUGUCUUAUUCAUUGCCUAAUUACCUUAAACGGUGAACAUGCAUAUUAAUCCAGUUCUAAAAAAUAAGGUUUAUCCCAAAGUUGUGUUAUUAAAUAAACAACUGGUGAGGCGUUCAGUAAUUACAACUCAGAUGAAACAAAAGUCCUAAGUAACAUGAUAUCUGAUGCACACAAGCUCCUAAACAUGGUCUCUAAAUGCAGUGGCAAUUUUUUUAAACAGUUGUUUGUUAAUUACUAAUUGAUUACAAAGUGAGUAUAAUAAUAUGAAAGUAAAGAGCCUAAACAAGAUAUCUAUAUGCAAGAUGCAUGUCGUACACAUGGUUUCUAUUGCACAAAUAAGUAAGUAAAGCUUUAUAGACAUGUUAUCUACCCAUUAAUAAAAACAAACAUGCAUAAUCCCCACCCAUUUCACUAUAGACCCCAUCCGUUGUUUACAAGUUAUUACAAACCAUGAUAGCUGAAUCACAUAAUAAAAAAUAAAAAUAAGAAGUUACUCUAUAGGAAGCCUUCAACCAGGCCAAUUCUUCCAACCUCACUUCUUUCGAGUUUCACAGCCCUUUGCCAUGGUUUGGGUGAGGCAAAGCUCCCUAAGGGCCCAUUAGAGUCCUUGGCCAAUACCAACACCCAAACAAUAUUAAAAUUGAACAAGUGCAGUGUAAUAUUACCAGCAUUGUGCAUCAAAGUUCCAUGGGUACUCAAAAGGUACCCAAGUAAAUGCUUGCCAAAGGGGGUAGGACCUAAACUCUAGGAGUAGUAUGAGUGUGGCAGAGUUUCUAAAGAAAAUAAGUUUAAAAAUAGUUUAGGAUAAUGAUCCAUACAGAAGCAGUUUUGAAAUAAAACAAUGUGAUGAUUCUGACAAUAUCAGAUAUAUUUCAGGGAAGUAAACACAAAUAGAGAAAAGGGGGAUGGGGACAAGUAGUUCACAGACAGUAUUUCAGAACUUAGACAGCCACACCAGGUUUCAAACAAAAGGGUCAACACUACAUGCUGAUAAUAUACUAGGGCUAAGGGGCAGGGGAGCAAAUCAAUAAGCAUGCUAGAUUAAGAGAAGGAUGAACUAAACAUAGGAACAUACUAGUAGCAAUAAGAACAUAAGUAAAAGCAUAUAAUAAACAGAAUAAAGUGCAGUAUGUAUAAAAACAUGUUGUUUUGAGAGCUGUAAAUCAAAUAGAGGGCAUACCAGUUGAGGAUGAGAUAAUAUAGAGCAGUAGUAUACAUAGAAAUGAGUAUUAGUAUGCAAAGAAGUGAGUAGCAGUAUGCAGACCAAAGGAGGUAGCAAUAUGAAGAACAGUAGAACAGUAAAGCACCCUAAAUCACUCAGUCUUGGCUUUUAGCUGACUGAGUAAUCAGUAGUCACAAGGAAAGUGAGAGAGGUUAUGUAAAAAUAAGAGAGAACAAUGAGUAUGUUUUGUGUGUAAGAGAGAGUUCAGAACAAUGAAUUUUGUUCGUGUCUGGAAGUGAGAAUAGUGGAGAGUAUAUAUAGUAGUUGAGAGCAGAGUAAAAUAAGGUAAAGAAAAUCAGUUUUCAUCAAUCAAGGAAGCCACAUAAUCAGUCAGGCAAAAAAUCAACAAGUCUUCCCUUAAUUAAGGGGUAAUAAGCCAACGGUAAAGAGCAAAACAUAUUUAAGGAAAGAAAAUCAAGUAAGACUUAGGCACAUGGUAGACAAUUAAGGGUAAAUACACUAGGGUUAUAUUAGGGAAACAAUUAGUGAAGAAUCAAUAAGUAACACGGAUAAUAAAAAUAAGGUAAGAAAACUAAAUAAGGUUGCAAAUAUAUAGAAAUAAUUGAGAAUCAGCACAUAGGUAUUACCAUAACAACUUGGUGAAUCGAAGAUUCGAAAUAACACUAAUUUAACGUAAAUAUCAUAGAUUUCCAUGAAUAAGAAAAUAAGUCAAGUAUAAACGGAAAGAAUCGAGUCUGAAAUCUUAACAGAGGCAUACUAUGGCAAAAUCAUAAGGCAUUCUAAUUAAACGAAGAAGUAAUCAUGUAAAUCAAAGCACAUAACAUAGGCAUGAAUCAAACAAAACGGAAGAGUGCAGAAUCCAAACAAAGUUUCAAACAUUGGGGUUUUUAGCAUAUGCUGGUUAGGGUUAAGGAAGAACUCAACAAAAUUAGUAAAAACUCAUAGACACAUGGUGUUAAACACUUAAAACCAGAAAGCAUUUUGAAGAAAAGGAUUUUUAGAAACCCUAGUUUUGAAAAGAAGAACGAAAUGUUGAAAAAGUUGAGUAAUCGAAGAAAUCGAGUAGAGAGUAGUGUAAAACACAAAGAAUAAGUUAAAAAUCAUUUCUAAAGGACAGAGAUUAAGAGACUAGGCAGAAAUUAGUGUUUCGUAAUAAAUUAGUGAGAGAUAAGGAACUUGGCUGUGAAUCUCGCUAAUAAUGAUGUUCGUAGUACCAUCGAACCAUAAACCACCGGAGAAAGUCCAGAGACAAACCAGGCAAGGCCUCCGGUAACCAUUUUGUAUGGUAGAGGCUUCUGGAGUCUUGAAACUAGAGGGAAUCAACAAGGUACAGUUCCAUGGCAGCUGGUGGUCGAGAGAAGUGAGGACGGAGAUCGCCGGAGGGGCGGUGUCUUCAUCGGAGAUGAAAGAGAGAACCAGAAGGUUCUAGAGAGAAGGGAGAGCAAACGUUAGUAUAAAGAGAGAGAGAGAGUCCGAAGUGAGGGGUUUGGGGGGCUCAUUUAGGUAUUAAUUUAGGAAAAUAUAUAUGGGUCGUUGAUCUUAUUCAAUCAAUGGCUUAGAUCAAAUCAAGGUUGGACCGGGUAUUUGAAUUGGGCGUGGGUCGGGUAAUUUUGGAUAUGGGUUGGGGAAUUUGGGGUUGAAAUUAGGGUUCAAUUUGGGCUAUGAUCAUAAUAAAAUUUAGCUAGCAUUUAAAUAGUUGAUUUUCCCCUUUUUUUAUUUUAUACAAAUAGUGAAAAAGAUUUCAAAAAUAAAUUAAAAAUACUGAACUAACUAAUAAUUUAUAAAUAUUAAUCUAAAAAUAUUGGAAAUUAUUUUAUAAUUAUAAAAUAUAAUUAAUUGUAAAAUAGGCUAUAAUUGCAAUUAUAUACAAUUUAGUUUUAAAAAUACCAAAUAAAUCUGUAAAAUAUGCAAAAAAAUACCUUAAUUGUAUUUUGGUAUAAAUAUGAGAAUAAAAUAAAUUAUUCACAAAAUGAUUAUUUUUAGGAAUAAUUAUUGAAUUAUAUAUAUAUAUAUAUAUAUAUAUAUAUAUAAUUUAAAUUGAAGCUUUUUAAUUAAAAUGAACCGAAAAUAAUAACUAUANNNNNNNNNNNNNNNNNNNNNNNNNNNNNNNNNNNNNNNNNNNNNNNNNNNNNNNNNNNNNNNNNNNNNNNNNNNNNNNNNNNNNNNNNNNNNNNNNNNNNNNNNNNNNNNNNNNNNNNNNNNNNNNNNNNNNNNNNNNNNNNNNNNNNNNNNNNNNNNNNNNNNNNNNNNNNNNNNNNNNNNNNNNNNNNNNNNNNNNNNNNNNNNNNNNNNNNNNNNNNNNNNNNNNNNNNNNNNNNNNNNNNNNNNNNNNNNNNNNNNNNNNNNNNNNNNNNNNNNNNNNNNNNNNNNNNNNNNNNNNNNNNNNNNNNNNNNNNNNNNNNNNNNNNNNNNNNNNNNNNNNNNNNNNNNNNNNNNNNNNNNNNNNNNNNNNNNNNNNNNNNNNNNNNNNNNNNNNNNNNNNNNNNNNNNNNNNNNNNNNNNNNNNNNNNNNNNNNNNNNNNNNNNNNNNNNNNNNNNNNNNNNNNNNNNNNNNNNNNNNNNNNNNNNNNNNNNNNNNNNNNNNNNNNNNNNNNNNNNNNNUAUAUAUGUUACUUUAAAAAUAUUUGAGUAUAAAAAUAUCCAUGAAAAAAUUGGAUAUCAAAAGUUGCCCAUCUUUACCCUGGAAGGAUGAAAGAAUUAUCAUGUAAAGAUAGGAUGGCCAAUUUUGACCAAAAGAGGUGAUUUGCCUUGAAUUUCGACCGAGAUCUGGCUUUUGAGCUGCCUACAUAUCCUUGAUUUUACAAGAAUCAGGCCAUAUGUAGUUCAGGAUCCAUCGACAGAAUAUGCCAAUAGAGUUUCGAUAAGGACAAACAUGAUGUUUAGGUUGUAGUUGAAAUCUGAUAGGAUGCGGGAAGUGGAGCGGGAUCGCUCAUGCUGAGACAGUCGUUGCUAGCUGGCGUACCUACAAGUGAGAAAUACAACAUAUAUUGUGCAUAAAUUUAAACGUGAUGCAAGUUUCCUUUGGGCCAUGAAUGUUGUGUUUGGACAGUUAGGGUGAUGUCCUCGGGCCAUGACGUCCUGAGAAAUGAAGCGUAUGAUAAAGGAUUCACAGGCUAUGAAAUGAUGUGUUUGGGCUAUGAGGAUGAUGCCUCCGAACCAUGAUGCCUUUGAAUAAUGAUAUGCAAAAGAUAAAACGAGGUCCUCAGGCCAUGGCAUGGCGCUCUCGAGCUAUGGAAAUGGUGCCUCUGAACAAUGACACCUUUGGAAAAUUUGGCGAUAUUUUUGCCCAUGAAAUGCAAAAGGUGGCGAUCUUUCAGCCAAUGCAGGAAGUGGCGAUAUUUCAACCGAUGCAAGAAGCGGCAAUAUUUUAGCCGGGUAGAAUUUAAAUGAAGGUGGAAAUCUUUUAGUCAUGCAGAUGACAGUGCUUAGUCUCAGAAGGCAGGAAGCUAGCCUUAUGCAAAAUGCAAAGAAAUGCAGGAUGGAGUUAUAGCUUAACCUCGGAAGGCAGAAAAGUAGCCUUAUGCAAAAUGCCGAUAACGCGGAUGGAGACAAUGCUUAGUCUCGGAAGGCGGGAUGGUAGCCUUAUGCAAUGUAGAGAUAUGGAGACAAAUCUUAGUCUCAGAAGGCAAAAAAUAGCCAUAUGCAAAUGUAGGUAGAGCUUAACCUUGGAAGGUAGGAAGGUAGCCUUAUGUAAAAUAAAGAUAAUGCAGAUGGAGACAGUGCUUAGUCUCGAAAGGCAGAAAGGUAGCCUUAUGCAAAUGCAGAUAAUGCAGAUGGAGGUAGAGCUUAACCUCAGAAGGAAAAAAAGUAGCCUUAUGCAAAAAUGUAGAUAAUGCAGAUGGAGACAGUGCUUAGUCUCGAAAGGCAGAAAUGUAGCCUUAUGCAAAAUGCAGAUAAUGCAGAUGGAGGUAGAGAUUAACCUCGGAAGGCUGAAAAGUAGCCUUAUGCAAAAAUGCAGAUAAUGCAGAUGGAGAUAAUGCUUAGUCUCGAAAGGUAAAAAGGUAGCCUUAUGCAAUGCAGGAAAUAAAAGGCGGAUAAUAAUGAAAUCUCUUAGCUGAUAGAUGAUAGCUGAUAGCUGAUUGCAUCAUUAUGGUUGUUGGGGAUGUUGUGCACAGAUACUAAUUUUGAGUAGGUUAUGAUUUUGAGAAGUUGCAUUCUUGAGAAAGUAUGAGUGCAGAAAUAUAUCUAAUGAUAUUGUGAAUUUUGUGCCUACAUCCAUAGAAAAAUCCUGAGCUUAGUAAAAAGGGGAAGGUUAGUUCGUCUUCGUGUGGACUUCGCUCGUCCUGCUUGACGUUGUACAUCAUUGGGGUAGCGUCGGUAAACACAACAAUAUAAUAGUCAUGCAUGAUUUAGUAAAAUAAUAUAAUAUAAAUACAUAAUUGAAAAUAAUAGUUCUCUUUUUUUUCUUUUUUUUAAAAGAUGAACCGACAAUUGCGACGUUGUUCAAGAAAUUACAACCUCUCUUGCUUCGGAAUUGUGAGGGUCUUCCUCAAAAUUCUGCCCCAGUUUACUGCGCUGGUGCUUCCGACGACUGCGUGCAAUGAAUGGCUGAAAUCAACUUCGAAAUUUUGAGGGUCCUCUUCAAACUUCUGCCAUAGUUUCCAAUAGCGAGGGGAGAAAUAAAAAAUUUAUUGAAUUAUGACCGAACCCAUAGGGCUUCCUACGUAUCGCCUCAUAAAUGAGAAUCAAGUCGGGUGUCAUUCAAAUUACCUCAUAAAGAAAUCAUAAAGGAUUACACAUAGUAUCGCUUUACUGCAUCUGAAUCGAUUGGUUUUGGCCAGACUUAUCCAUCUAUUUUCUGCAAGUAUGAGGGCCCCUCCUGUCAGAACCCGGUAAACCAUGUAUCGCCCUUGCUAAUUAGGAGAGAAUUUCCCUUCGGUGAAAAUCUUCUUCAUUCUCUUCCCAUCUAUAAGGGACAACUACUCGUAGUGACUCCUUAGUCAUUCUGCAUCAUCUAACUCCGCUUUUUGCACGUUCUCAAGGAGGGGAUUUCUACCUCGGCGAGAAUGACUGCCUCUGUACCAUAAACCAGCAUAUACGGAGUUACCCCGAUUGAUGUGUGGACUGUGGUGCGGUACCCCAAUAAGGCGAAUGAUAACUUCUCAUGUCAUUUCUUUUGCUUUUCUAUCAUUUCCUCGGUGUCUUCUUGAUAUUCUUGUUGGCCGUUUCUACAGCUCCAUUCAUCUGAGGCAUGUAGGCUGUAGAGUUCCUAUGUUUAAUCUUGAAUGCUUUACCCAAGCUUUUAUCAAGUCACUGUUGAUAUGGACCCAUUAUCGGUAAUGAUUGACUCAGGAUUCCAAACCGAUAAACAAUACGGUCGUGGACUAAAUCUACCACAACCUUCUUGGUUAUUGCUUUAUAUGAUGUUUCUUCGACCCAUUUGGUGAAAUAAUCAAUCGCCACUAGAAUCAACAUGUGACCAUUUGAUGAGGCAGGCUCAAUUGGUCCAAUAACAUCCAUUCCCCAAGCGUCGAAUGGCCAACAUGAGCUUGUUGCGGUAAACUCAUUUGGAGGUACCUUUAUCGUAUCUUCAUGUAUCUGACAUCAAUUACACUUUCGAACAUAGUGAAUGCAGUUCGUUUCCAUAGUUAUCCAAAAACAACCUACUCGGAGUAUCUUUUUUGCUAAGAAAAAACCAUUCAUAUGUGGACCGCAGGUCCCUGCAUACACUUCCUCUAACAACCUGGAUGCUUCGUUUGCUUCGACACACCUUAGUAGUCCUAAAUUGGGGGUCCUCCUGUACAUGAUCCCUCCACUAUGAAAGAAGUUGGUGGACAAUCGCCGAAGGGUGUAAUUCUGAGUAGCGUUGGCAUCAUGGAAACAUGGUUUUUCGUACGCUUCUUCCUCGACAUGAGCAUAAUAUGAUGGAUUUUCAUAAAUAUUUACCAGGAUGGGAUCAAUGAAAUUCUUAUCUGGAUGCUGGAUCAUGGAUGAUAGCAUAGCAAUGCAUCAGCGAACUCAUUCUGCACUCUGGGGACGUGCUGAAAUUCUAUCUUUGAUAAUCUCUUCCUCAACUCCUAUAUGUGAUGUAGGUAAGGAAGUAUCUUAGAGUUUUUGGUUGCCCAUUCUUCUUGGACCUGAUGUAUGAGCAAGUCUGAAUCCCCGAUCACUAGCAACUCCUGAAUGUUCAUGUGAAUAGCCAUCUUGAUCCCCAAGAUACAGGCUUCAUAUUUGGCCAUAUUGUUGGUGCAUGGGAACCUAAGUUUGGCACAUACCGGGUACUGCUGGCCGGUUUCUAUUUCUAGGACUGUUCCUAUGCCAACUCCUUUGAAAUUUGCGGCUCCAUCGAGAAACAAUGUCCAACAAUCAUAGGAUUCUGCAAUAUCCUCCUAUGGAAGAUACCUCUUCAUUGGGAAAAUACGUCUUUAGAAGCUCGUAUUCCCCAUUCGCGGGAUUCUCGGCGAAAUGAUCUGCCAAGGCGUGUCCCAUGAUUGCUUUCUGAGUUACGUAAACAAUGUCGAAUACACUUAGUAGGAUUUUCCACUUUGCUAGCUUGCCAGUGGGAAAGGGCUUCUGAAAGAUAUACUUCAGCGGAUCCAUUCUGGAUAUGAGAUAAGUAGUGUAGGCACAGAAAUAAUGCCUCGGCUUCUGAGCUACCCUAGUCAGAGCAUAAUAGGUGCGUUCUAAUAGAGAAUACUGGGCCUCGUACCGGGUGAACUUCUUGUUGAGAUAGUAGAUGGCUUGCUCCUUUCUCCCCGUUUAAUCGUGUUUUCCCAAAACACAACGGAAUGCUUCAUCUAAUACUGUAAAGUAAAGCAAUAGAGGUCUACCUAGUUUAGGCGGAACCAAAACUGGUGUCGUUGACAGGUAUUCCUUGAUUUUGUCAAAUGCUUUCUGGCAAUCAUCAGCCCAUUUGGUAUCAGCAUCCAUCUUCAACAUUUUAAAGAUGGGUUCACAAAUGAUAGUGGACUGAGCUAUGAACCGGCUGAUAUAGUUGAGUCUCCCUAUAAAACUGAUCGUCCUUCUUGUUCUUUGGCGGGUGGUAAUUCUUGAAUGUCUUUAACCUUUGAUGGAUCCAUUUCUAUCCCUCGGCGACUCAUGAUGAACCCCAGUAAUUUUCCGGCAGGAACCUCGAAUGCACACUUGGUGGGAUUCAAUUUCAAAUUGUACCUUCUCAAUCUAUUGAAUAAUUUCCUCAGAUCUUCCAUGUGGUCAGUGGCUUUCUUGGAUUUUAUGAUGAUAUCAUCUACAUAUACCUCAAUUUCCUUGUGUAUUAUGUCAUGGAAGAUAGUAGUCAUGGCCCUCAUGUAAGUGGCACCAACAUUCAUUAACCCCAAAUGGCAUCAUCUUAUAAAUAUACAUUCCCUACGGCAUGAUGAAAGUUGUUUUCUCUGCAUCUUCCUCAUCCAUCCAUAUCUGAUGAUACCCGGUAAAACAAUCAACAAAUUACUGCAGCUCAUGAUAAGGGGAAAGCAUCUUUGGAUCUGGCCCGGUUAAGAUCCCGGUAGUCGACACAGACCCUAACCUUCCCAUCUUUCUUCGGCACUGGUACAAUGUUGGCUAACCAUGUUGGAUACUCUACCACCCUGAGAACCUUGGCUUUGACUUGCAUGGUGACUUCUUCCUUGAUUUUCAAACUCAUGUCAGGCUUUAACUUUUUGAGUUUCUACUUUACCGGUGGACAUGUUGGAUCUAUUGGGAGUUUGUGAGCUACAAUGGAUGUACUGAGAUCAGUCAUAUCAUCAUACGACCAGGCAAAUAUGUCCUCAUGUUCCUUUAGAAACUAUGUGUACUCUUUCUUUUUUUACGGUGACAGGUGAACACUGAUGCGCGUUUCUUUGACAUUCUCUGCAUCCCCCAAGUUAACGACCUCUGUUUCGUCCAAAUUAUACUUAGGCCUAUUUUCAAAAUCCUCAAAUUCUUUACGACCUCUUCUGGUAUAUCAUCCUCUUCUGACUCUAUGUCCAUUUGUAGUGUUGUCUCAUUGCAAGUUACAAUCGUCGGUUCAUCAUCGAGAUAAGUAAUAGUAAUACUGUGUAAAUAAAGUAAAUGAUGGAGAAAAUAAAAAGAGCGAGAUAAAUAAUAAACUGAAAUGCUUUGAUUAAAUUUCAUAAUUGUGCUGAAAAUCGGAGCUCUUUUCAAAAUUAAAGACAAUACGGAAAGAAAAUCAGCUAAUAAAAAGUAAAAUGUGAUGCAUGGUGCUUUGUUUAGUCUUGCUACCCCGAAGCUUUUUGGGCCCAAGUGGUUCUGGUGGACCAAUUACUGAGGCGUUCUCCUUGGUUCACAGCUUGUAUAGAUGGUCCUUCCUCCCCUUUCUCCUCGAAAAUAACACAAUAGUCCAUAUCAUCGUCCUCCAGAAACAUAUUCUUCAUUGCUGCCAAUGCAUCUCUUCUGACCCAUAUAUAGUAUCUGUCGGUUGGAAAGUCUGCUCCAAACGAGGUAUAAGAUGCUCCAGUGGGUAGUAGGGACCGCGCCAAUUCAGGAUACUCUCGAUCUUGUUAUCCUACCAUUUAUCUUUGUCCACAACAUUGGCCCGCUCGAUGUUCUCUGCCUAUUCUCCUUCUUUCACCAAUCAUUGGGAUGGUAUGGUGACUGUAUAUAGGGUUGCUACCAUCGCCAUGAAUAAUCACCUCUUGAUGAUUCCAUUCGAACUUCACUGCCUGGUGCAGGGUUGAUGCUACAGCUCCAGCAGCGUGGAUCCAAGGUCGUCCCAACAGCGAGUUGUAGGAUACUGGGACAUCUAUCACUUUAAAGUUAACGUCGGACCAAGUUGGUCCCAUUUGCAGGCAUAAAUUGAUUUCCCCAAUCGUGGACCUUUGGGACCCGUCGAAGGCUUUGACAUUGACGGCCACUUCUUUGAUCUCAUGCAGGCUCUUUCCCAACGUCUGAGGGUUAUCAACAAACAUAUGUUGAGGCUAGAUCAUCUGUCAAUCGGGACAAUAGUAAUGAUAAUCCUCGCAUUGUACGAUGAUGUGCAGUGCCUUGUUGUGACUCAGCCCUUCUGGUGGCAGCUCAUCUUCGUGGAAGGUGAAUUUGUGGCUCGCAAGUACUUGUCCUACCAAGUUUUUCAUUUCCCCUCCAGUUAUGUUGCUGGGAACAUAUGACUCACUCAGUAUCUUCAUCAGGGCAUUCUUGUGUGCGUCAGAGCUCUGCAGAAGAGCUAGGAUGGGAAUCUGUGCCGGUGUUUUAUUUAGUUGUUUAAUGACCGAGUACUGUUUUGCUUGUAUCUUCCUCUAAAGAUCAUCGGGUCCAGUUUCAAUAGGUCAUCCAGAGGCUUGCUUACUGGAAUCAGCUAUGUGUUCUGGAGUGUAGAAUUUGCAUGUUCUGGUCAUACCCUGUGUAGCAAUUGCUUCUCUAAAUUUGGUUUUCCCUUUCCUUCUUGGUUCGGAUGUGUAAUCCCAUGGUAUGGAAUUCGAGUGGAAUGGUGUUAUGUCUGACAUUGUUACCGGAUUAGGCACCCUUGGGGUAACACUGCAACUUUAAAUGGUACAGGUGCUUUUGGAGCUCCAAACUCAACCUCAAUUAGUCCGGGCGCCUUUCCAGGAAGGUACUUCAAACUCGAGUGGUAUAGACAUGUUUACUUCACUGCCCUCGGAGGGAUGGAUCUGGAUGACAAUUAGGUUAAGUGUGCUUGUUGGUUUCUUUGGAUCAUCACCCUCACCAAUCAAUCCUAUCGGCUCAUUGGGGUCCCAGUCAUCUUUGAUCUGGAUCAUGUGAAUGUCUCCACCCUUGUGGUCAGGUAAAGGGUUACUGCGAACAUUAGGAGCAGGAUUCUUUUCUACGAUGAUCUUAUUGUCAAUCAAGGUUUGAAUCUUUUCCUUUAGUGAGUGGCACUCAUCGGUGGUAUGUCCCUUCAAGCCGGAAUGGUACGCACGGGUCUUGUUCGGGAUGACCCACUGGGAAGGAUUUUCUGGAGUUAUGGCAGCGAUAAGGGUGACAUAACUAGAAUCCAUAAGUCUUUCAUAGCUGGUCAAUUGGUUCGGUAAUGGUUGUGUAUUGUCUGGGAGGCCUGCGGAAUUUGGUCUAGGUCUAGGGAAAUUUUGGCGAGUGGAAGGUGAUUGGUAGUGAGAGGGUUGAGAAUUAUAAGCUUGGUUGACAGGUGCGGGUUGGAAGUAUCUGGAUGAAGUGGGCUGAUAUGUGGGAGGUGGAGAUUACUGAUAAACGGGUGGUGGAUUUUGGUAGGAGGAUAUGGGUGCUUGGUAAUUUGGGGUGGACUGAUAUGUAUGUGGAGGUGAUCGGUGAGUUUGGUAUUUUAUAGGGGAUUUUGUUCUCUAUGCGACCAUCACGGCACUCACAUCCUUCUUCUUGGAUGUGCCACCAGACUGUAGAGCCUUGUUGGUAGCCUGCAAUGCUUCAAGAUUAGCAACCAUACCAAUCUUAAUGCCUUCCUCGAUUAUUUCCCCUAGCUUUAUGAUAUCGGAGAAUUUCUGGCCCUCGAUCAGCAUCAACCUCUCAUAAUAUUGUGGAUCCUGAGCCCGGACGAAGUAUCUGUUCCUCUUCUAAGGUUAGCCUGACCUUAGCAGCCUUUGAUCUCCAACGAGUAGCAUACUCACGGAAUGUCUCGGUAGGUUUCUUCUUAAGAUUCUGUAUGUAGAAUACAUCUAGUGUAUUUUCUGUAUUGAAUCGGAACCUGUCCAUGAAGCCGGACACCAUACCUACCCAGCUUGUCCACUUCUUGGGGUCUUGGCUGAUGUACCAAGAUAAAACAUCCCCUUUCAGACUCCUCAUAAAGAGCUUCAUACGGAUCUUCUCAUCCUUUCCUACUCCAACCAGUUUGUCACGGUAUGUCCUCAAAUGGACUCUGGGAUCUCCCGUGCCAUCAAACAUUUCAAACUUGAGACUUUUGUACCCCUCAGGAAGUUCAACAUAUGGCCGAAUGCAAAGGUUUUCAUAAUUCAGCCCCUCAAUACAUUUGUUUUCCUCAACACCAUGGACUCGGCUAAUCAACUUCUUGAGUUCUGCGGCAAGGUUCCUGAUAAGAGAGUCUUUGUCAUCAAACUCAUGUGUGCUUGAGAUUGGUUGGGUGUAGUAUGAUAUGGUUUCCACAUAUAUAGGGGUGUUGUGGGUAGGAUCAUUUGUGGUGUUUAGCGAUUCAGGGAUGAGCAAUGGAGGGUUAUUGGGGGUUUGAUCAGGGAUGAGAAAUGGAGGGUUAUUGGGGGUGUGGCAUGUGUUGCAAUAUUGAGUAUGAGUAGGUUGUUUGUGGUUGUGGGGUGUUCUAUGGAGGUGGAGGAUUUUAGGUGUUGGGAAAGUCGAUAUCGGGAGUGGUAAGGUAAAAUGACAAGAUGGCCAAGUUCUGAACUUGAUCUAUAUCUUCUCGGAACUUCAAUAACUUCUUCUCAAGUUGGGCGGCACUUUCUCUUGAGAUCUGGAUACCCUGAAUAACCUCUGUUUGUUUACCCAAGUUCUCUUUUCGUAUGUUGUUCACAUAUUUCAUGUUAGUCUUGUUCUUGUUUCUGAUAGGACUUGGAGGAGGAGGAGGUGGAGGGCCCUUGGAUCUCGUACUGUAUGAUGAUGAUGCUAGAGUGCACAAACUAAAUUUGGGGAAGAGAAUAAAAAUAAAAUAAAAACAAAAGGUAAUAAGUUAGUACGGAUUAUGGAAAGAAAAUGUUGCAAUAUUUAAACACGUUGUGCGAGAAUAUAAAUCGUUUCCUAAUUUUGGUGCCUCGUUGUGCCCGAGGUAAGCCUAGCGAAAAAAAGAUUUGGAAAACUUAUAAUGCUAAAUGCCUCAUUUUAUUGAUAAAAAUAAGAUGAAUCCCAAAAUGACGCAAAAUAAUAGAAAGUAAAAUAUCUCUAACGGUCGUUGGCCUUUUUACAUCAUUAAAGUAAAAGAAAAAGAGUCCUAACUACUUGGUCCCAGAAGGACCUUCCCCAGAUUCGGCAUCUUUGUCUCCCUCGGACAGUUUUACUAGCUCGCACAGUCCUAGCAGCAGAUAAGCUCGGGCCAGAUGUCCGUCCGCAUUUCCCUCAGCAUUUUGACAGUCUUCAAUCCUCUUGAUGAACUUCCCUUCCAGCUCCACUACACCCUGCUCCAAAUACCCCAGUCGUUUGUUGGCGCUGAAAGCAAUAUCCUUCCACUUUUCAAUCAACUUUUGAUGGGCUUCUUGUAUUUCCCGAUGCUCGCUUUCACAUUCUCGAAUUCUCUUGCGUAGUUAGUUGUACUUAACCCGCACUUCAGCCUUUUUGUCAAUGAUCAUGUGACCUCGAAUGAACCCCGGCUGACUCAAAUUAAAAGAGGUUGAGUAGUCGGAAGCAUGAUUAAUCAAUUUGUAUUAGGCCUAAAGCUUGCCUACGUAUCUUAUUCAUUGCUUAAUUACCUUAAAGCUGAACAUGCAUGUUAAUCCAGUCUUAAAAGGAGAAGACGUGAUUUAGCCUAAACAUGUGUUAAUAGAUAAGCAAAUGGUGAGGCGUUCAGUAAUUACAACCCUGAUGAAACAAAAGUCCUAAGUAACAUGAUAUCUGAUGCAAACAAGCUCCUAAACAUGGUCUCUAAAUGCAGUAGUAGUUUUAAAAAAAAAGUUGUUUGUCAAUUACAAAUUGAUUACAAAGUGAGUAUAAUAAUCUAAAAGUAAAUAGCCUAAACAGGAUAUCUAUAUGCAAGAUGCAUGUCCAACAUAUAGUUUCUAUUGCACAAAUAAGUAAUUAAAGCUCCAUAGACAUGUUAUCUUUUAAUUAAACCAAACAUGCAUAAUCCACACCCAUUUCACUAUAGAUCCGCUGCUUAUAAGUUAUUACAAACCACGAUAGCUGAAUUACAUAAUGAAAAAUAAAAAUAAGAAGUUACUCUAUAAGGAGCCUUCAACCAGGCCCAAUUCUUCCAACCUCACUUCUUUCGAGUUUCAAAGCCCUUUGCUAUUGUUUGGGUGAGGAAAGCUCCCUAAUGGCCCAUUGGGAUCCUUGGCCAAUACCAGCACCCAAACACUAUAAAAAUUGAGCAAGUGCAGUGUGGAAUUACCAGCCUUGUGCAUCAAAGUUUCAUGGGUACUCAAAAGGUACCCAAGGCAAUGUUUACACGAAAGGGGUAGGACCUAAACUAUAGGAGUAGUGAGAUAUGACAUGGUUUUUAAAGAAAAUGAGUUGAAAAACAGUUUAGGAGAAUGAUCUAUACAGAAGCAGUUUUGAAAGAAAACAAUGUGACAAUUCUGACAAUAUCACAUAUAGUUCACGGAAGUAAACACAAAUUGGGAAAAGGGGGGAUGGGGACAAGUAGUCCACAGACAUUAUUUCAGAACAUAGACAACCACACCAGGUUUCAAACAAAAGGGUCAGGACUACAAGUUGAUAAUGUACUAGGGCUAGGGGCAGGGGAGUAAAUCAAUAGGCAUUCUAGAUUAAGAGGGAUGAACUAAACGCAGGAACAUACUAGUUGCAAUAAGAACAACAUACCCAUAAGUAAAAUCAUAGAAGAAAUAGAAUAAAAUGCAGUAUGUAUAAAUACAUGUUGUUUUGAGAGCUCUAAAUCAAAUAUAGGGCAUACCAGUCGAGGAUGAGAUAACAUAGAGCAGUAGUAUGCAGAGAAAGAGCAGUAGUAUGAAGAGAAGUGAGCAGCAGUAUGCAGGCCAAAGCACGUACCAAUGUAAAGAACAGUGGAAUAGUAAAGCAGGCUAAAUCACUUAGUCGUGGCAUUCAGUCGAGUGAGUAAUCAGUAGACACAAGGAAAGUGAGAAAGGUUGUGUAGAAACAAGAGAGAACACUGAGUAUCUUUUGUGUGUAAGAGAGAGUUCAUAAUAAUGAAUUUUGUUCGUGUCUGGAAGUGAUAAUAUAGGAGAGAAUAUAUAGUAGUUGAGAGCAGAGUAAAUUAAGGUCAAGGAAAUCAAUUUUCAUCAAUCAAGGAAGCCACAUAAUCAGUCAGGCAAAAAAUCAGCAAGUUUUCCCUUAAUUAAGGAGUAAUUUGCCAACGGUAAAGAGCAUAACAUAUUUAAGGAAAAAAAUCAAGUAAGACUUAGGCACAAGGUAGAAAAUUAAGGGUAAAUACACCAGGGUUGAAUUAGGGAAACAAUUAGUAAAGAAUCAACAAGUAACACGGUUAAUUAAAAUAAGGUAAGAAAACUAAAUAAGGUUGCAAAUAUAUGGAAAUAAUCGAGAAUCAGCACAUAGGUAUUAACAUAACAACUUGGUGAAUCGAAAAUUCGAAAUAACAAUGAUUUAAGGGAAAUGUCACUGAUCUCCAUGUGUAAGCAAAUAAGCCAAGUAUAAACGGAAAGAAUUGAGUCUCAAAUCUUAACAGAGGCAUACUAGGGCAAAAUCACAAGACAUUCUAAUUAAACAAAAAAUUAAUCAUGCAAAUCAAAGCACAAAACAUAGGCAUGCAUCAAACAACACGGACGAGUGCAGAAUCCAAACAAUGUUUCAAAAAUUGGGGGUUUUAGCAUAGGCUGGUUAGGGUUAAGGAAGAACUCAACAAAAUCAGUAAAAACCCAUAGACACAUAGGGUUAAACACUUAAAACCAUAAAGCAUUUUGAAGAAAAGGAUUUUCAGAAGCCCUAGUUUUGAAAAGAAGAACAAAAAGUUGAAAAAGUUCAGUAAUCUAAGAAAUAGAGUAGAGAGUAGUGUAAAACACAAAGAAUAAGUUAGAAAUCGUUUCUAAAGGACAUAGAUUAAAAGAACUAGGCAGAAAUUGGGGUUUCGUAAUAAAUUAGUGAGAUAUAAGGAACAUGCUAUGAAACUCAUUAAUAAUGAUGUUCAUAGUACCAUCGGACCAUAAACCAUCGGUGAAAGGCCGGAGACAAACCAGGCAAGGCCUCCGGUAACCAUCUUGUAUGGUAGAGGCUUCUGGAGUUGAAACUAGAGGGAAUCAACAAGGUACAGUUCCAUGGCAGUUGGUAGCCGAGAGAAGUGAGGACGGAGGUGGCCGGAGAGGCGGUGGCUUCUUCGGAGAAGAGCGAGAGAACCAGAAGUUUCUAGAGAAAAGGGAGAGAAAACGUUAGCAUAUAUAUAUAUAUAUAUAUAUAUAUAUAUAUAUAUAUAUAGAGAGAGAGAGAGAGAGAGAGAGAGAGAGAGAGUCUGAAGUGAGGGAUUUGGGGGAGGGUCGUUUAGGUUUUAAUUUAGGAAAAUAAAUCUGGGUCGUUGAUCUUAUUUGAUCAACGGCUCAGAUCAAAUCAGAGCUGGAUAAGGUAUUUGAAUUGGGUGUGGAUUGGGUAAUUUAGGAUAUGGGUUGGGGAAUUUGGGGUUGAAAUUGGGGUUCAAUUUGGGCUAUGAUCACAAUAAAAUUUGGCUAGCAUUUAAAUAACUAAUUUUUUCUUUUUUAUUUUAUGAAAACAGUGAGAAAGAUUUUAAAAAUAAAUAAAAAUACCAAACUAACUAAUAAUGUAUAAAUAUUAAUCUAAAAAUAUUGAAAAUAAUUUAUAAUUAUAAAAUAUAAUUAAUUGUAAAAUAGGCUAUAAUUGCAAUUAUAUUCAAUUUAGUUUUGAAAAUGCCAAAUAAAUAUGUAAAAUAUGCAAAAAAUUACCUUAAUUAUAUUUUAGUGUCAAUAUGAGAAUAAAUUGAAUUAUUCACAAAAAUAAUAAUUUUUGGAAAUAAUUAUUAAAUUAUGCAGUAUUAAAAUAGACAAUAAAUUGGUUUAAAAAAUCUUUAAAAUUUAGGAAAAUACCAAAACACUUGGGUAUGCUCAUAUAUGUUAUUUUGAAAGUAUUUUGAAUAUAAAAAUAUCUAAAAAAAAAUUGGGUAUCAAGAGCGGGUACCUCACACUUAGUUCAAACCAUUUUGUUUGCUUUUGCUUCCUUCCAAUGGAUUUAUGUUCCAUGUUUAUACACCUACAAUAUAAAUAAAAAAACAAAACAAAACGAUGCUACAAGAAUAAUAAAUUAAAAAAUAUAAAUAAAUAAAUAAAUAGAAGAAGUAAAGUUGGGUUGCCUCCCAACAAGCGCCCGAUUUAACGUUGCGACACGACGUGAAUCAAUUUUAUCACUUUUCUCUCUACCCGGAAGAUAUGUAUUGGUCACCUAACUUGGAAUCAAGCGUGUGACCACGAGCAACGAGGGGUGAUAAGUAAAUAAUCAAGCCAAACAUCAUUUCUUCGUUUUGCAUUUCUUGGCUCUCUUUUGAGGGAUGUCUUUUGCUUUCGUGACAAUCAAGCCUUCAAAUGGUCACUUUUCCCGGAUUUUGAAAUUCUCUUUUUUCCUCUAACUAGAGUCAUUUUUGACCAUCUUUUCAACUAUAUUAAUUGACUCUAAUUUCAUAUUUUUCUUGGCAUCACCAGCUCUAAUUCCAACUCAACUUUCGACCUUUCGCAUUUACGGCCUCACCCUCGCACCUGCGGAGCCGCCUCUGCAGAAACCUCAUUGCAGAAGUGCUUCUGCUUCUGCGAAAAAUGCUCUACAUCUGUAGACCCAGCACAACCUGCCCAGAUUCACUUUUGCGGAUCCAUGUAGGCAUUUGAGAACCUACACAUGCGGUCAUCCCUUCGCAGGUGCGAAUGCACCACAGAUCAGAAAAAUAACAACAAUGUACUAAGUCCGAAAAUGAAUCCGAAACACACCCCGCGUACCCCGUCCAACCAUUCCAACCAAUCCCAAGAUAUAAUACGAAUCUACUCAAAGCCUCAAAUUAAAUAAAAAACUUCAAAAUCACGAAUCAUACUACGAUUCAAGCCUAAGAAACUAAUGAAUUUUUAACUUCUAAAACUCGUGCCGAACCACAUCAAAUCAACCCGAAAUGACCUCAAAUUUUGCACUCAAGUUUCAUGUGACAUAACAAACCUAUUCUAACUCCCGGAACACAAAUCCAAACUCGAUAUCAACAAAUUCAACUCCUGGUCAAACCUACAAACUUCCAAACCUUCAACUUUCUAACUUUCGCGAAAAAGCACCAAAGCAACCUAUGAACCUCCAAAUCCACAAUUGAACAUACGCCCAAGUCCAAAAUCACCAUACGAGCUAUUGAACCCAUCAAAACUUUAUUUCGAAGUUGUCUACAUAAAAGUCAAUCUCUGAUCAACUAUUUCAACUUAAGUUUCCAACCUUCAGACUAUGUAUCCCAAUUUACUCUGAAACUUCCUCGCAACCAAAUCAACCACUACGGCAAGUCACGUAACAACAAUUGCACAUAUGUAAAAUAUUAAAUAGGGAAACAUGCCUAAAAAUAAUCAAAAUGAUCGGCCGGAUCAUUAGACUAAUAGUUCUUAUAAUGGUGCAACAGAUAUAAUAGUUCUACUUCGAGUAUGAACUGGUCUCACAAAUGUAUGGUGUUUCUGAUAUAUUAGGAUACAUUAACACGUAAAGUGAUUUGAAACUGAUUUUUUUUAUUUCUAAAGAAAAUCUAAUAAUUUUGAUUUUAUCAAUAAAUAGAAUUAACUUUAUAUGUUAAUUUUUAUUUCAUCCAACUCAAUAAAUUUAUUUAAAAAUUCAUUAUUACUUUCAUUUUACAUAUACAAUGCUGCGUGAAGCAUAGGUAAAUUUAUUACUCCUUUCGUCUAUUUUUUACUUGUCUACUAUUGAUUGCACAUUUUUAAAAAUUAAUAUUUUAUUAUAAUACCCAUAUUCAUUACGGAAUAGUCUUAAUAGAUUGGGACACCUAGUAUGAAGUUUACUACAAGAAAUGCUAGUGCUGUAGCCAUAAUCAUUUAAGUAACAUCUAAUGUUUUGAUUUUCGCGAUGCAGUUGCCGCUUAAAGAACUAAAGUUGCAAUAACAAAAUUAACAUGAGAACUUACCAAUCGUCGAUACCGAGUAUAUAAAGUAGUUGAAAAGCUAGUCGAAAUUUCGGCGCUCUGAUCUCCAACAAAACUUGUGCCCUUAUCAUUCGAUUAGCGUACACACUUUCUUUCCCUCCUUCAUUCUCUGAAUAAAAUUACUUUAAAUAUUAGCGGAUCCAAAAUUUAAAUUAUAUGAAUUUAAUUUUGUCACGCUUCAACUUUGAAAGGUGUGACUAACACUUGAUGUCGCACUGGUCCAAACGAAUCAUUUUUCUUAAAUAUGAAUAUAUAUAGACCGUCAAAGCCUCUGACAUACUGUACAAUUUAAAUCUCUGUCUACAAAGCCUCUAUGAUUAUUUGACAUCAAAUGAGAUAGAAUACCGGCCUACUCAUAAGUUUAUAGUAAAACUACUCUGACACAAUGAUUUAUAGACCCGGUUGCACUCCGAAUGAGGUGGAAUCUUACCGAUCCUCCGUUGAAUGCCAAUCUCGUCUACUAUGAGGACUCAUCAAACUGAUUAUCUACACCUGCAUGCAUGAAUGUAACGUCCCUAACAAAAGGAUAUCAGUACGAAUAAUGCACUGAGUAUGUAAGGAAGAACUUAAACAUAACAGUAAGUCAAUAUUAAUUAAAGACAUGGACUAAACUACUCAACCUAUAAGUCUGGAUAGCUCUGUGAAUAAUGAAAUAUUUAUAGUAUCAUGCAUAUGCGUAUAAAUGUCAUGCAAUGUAUAGGUUGUUCGUUCAUAAUAUCAUCAAGCCUAUGAGGCAUCCCAUCAUAUCAUUUCAACUAUUGUGGGCAACAUCAUCAUCGUAUACAGUUGAUCAGGUAGUGAUGCGUAUAUAACGCCGUAACCUUUUCUCAUAGCCCGAUAUAUAUACAUAUAUACGUGUAUAUAACGCCGUCUCAGUCAUGGGUAAAUUCACGUGUAAAUAAAUGCAAUGCAUGAGAAGUACAUUAAUAAAAUUUCUCGGAACGUCAUAGGACCAUUAUACCUCUGACUAAUAUCAUGAAAUAAAGACACAUGAACAGAAGAUGUAAUAAUAAGACAUAUGUAAAUUCAAGAACAUAAGUACAUCUAAUACUGCUAUGAACAAAAUUACUUAUAAAAGUUGUGUGUAUGAUCGUUUUAUUUGUAUUAUUUUAGAUCAUUCAAAAAAAAGAUAAUCUCAACAUACCUUUAAUGACGACUUUAUCGAAGGUGAUGAACCUGGCUCUCUUUAGGUCUUCUUGAUUGGGACGUUCGUGAAAAGAUAUAUGAUGCAGCAAAAACAUUGGACUUUUCUGUGGCGACUUAAAAACUUCAUCAAAAUUCUUAAAUGAAUGUUCAUGACCUAAUGAAGAUAUGCAUGCAGCCAUUGAUGUGUUGAUUUACAAAACCUUUUUUUUUAUCGGAUGUCCCCGAUGGGACUUGAUUUACAAAAGCUUUGGAAAGUAAAAAUAUGAGGUGAUGAAAGUUUGGUUAAAAGAUGGAGUGACAUAUGUAUAAGCGUAGUAUAAUCUUAGUUAGAAUAAGCUACGGAAACUGAAAAAUAAAACUAGUGCUUGAAGAGCACGUUCGGGCUUGGUUAUAAGCAACUUAUAUAUGUAGUAAUCCUAGUUAGAAUAGCUCAGGGAAAAACAGCUUUUGGAAAGUAAACAGAAUCACUUUUCUUUUUGAAAAUGCCAGAUGAUGCACUUAAUUGACAUAUUUUUGUAAGAAGAUUAAAAUUUUGCUUUUGCAUAUUCUUUCUAGGAACUAUGAAUUAGGAGCCACCUAUUUGACAGAUGUUCAAAAGUGAAUAUUAUUCCAUGCAUGAACCCCAUGUCUCCCUCCAAUAUUAUAUUAUUUUUUACUUCAUAGCAGCUAACUAUUUAAUAACGUGACAUUCUUUCUUUUUCUUUCUUUUAUUUAUGAAUUUUUAAUAACAUGACAUUCUACAAGAGAUUACAUAGAAUUGACCAAGAACAACCCUAUAACUCAUUUGAUUACCUAUCACGAUCCAAGUUCGUCCUCCGUGAACUACCAUGACGGCAUCUAGUCUCUACGACUAGGUAAGCCUAACAAAUACGGAAAAGAAACAAUUUGCGCAAAGAAAAUAUUAUAAAACUGAAAUAACAAAAUGAAAUAGUGUUUAAGAUGCCGCCUGGCACAUAACAGUACAAGAAUCUCAACCUGACACUUUCCAAAAUUCGGAACCCCAUGAAUCACAAACUAAGAGAUACAUAAGAAGUUCUAACUCGAGAAAUGUCUAACAAAAAGGAAAAAUACUGAAGGACUAUCUAUUACAGAAAGAUAGAAAGGGACUCCUCGGUCUGCGGACACGACAUAUAUACCUCGAAGUCUCUACAUAAGCGCCUCGCCUCAAGGAUAAUAAGACUGAGUGGAAGUACCUGGAUCUGCACAUGAAACAUCCGUAGAAAGGGCCUGAGUACAUCACAUCGGUACUCAGUAAGUGCCAAGUCUAACCUCGGCCGGGUAGUGACGAGGAAAGUCAGGGCCCUACUGAGAUUAAAUGAAAUAUAAUGUAUAACAGUGUAGAGUAAGAUAGUAUAAUUAAGUGAAACAGUAAGGAAAUAACAUAGAAUAGAAAGAUCAACAGAAAUUAUAAUAGAGACAAUAUAAUCACGAAAAGGAUUACAACUCAACACAGAGAUAACAAUCGAGAUAUCUUUCAGGAUACAGUCAUGUAGUCCUAAAUGCAUCUAUCAGGAUACAGUCAUGUAGUCCUAAAUGCAUCUAUCUAGUGGAUCUCCCGGGAUACCAUCCCGUAGUCUAUCAUAUAUAUACGAAGGAUCUCCCAGAAUUCCGUCUCGUAGUCCAACUAACAGUGCACGAGAAUCUAUCGGAAUCUCGAUCUGUAGUUCCAAAUAUAAAUAUCCAGUACUGGGAGGAUCUACUGGGUGCAGUCCAGUAGUUCCAUAUAACUGGACAGGGGAUCUAUCAAAAUACCACAUCCGUAGCCCCAAAUAAACAUACAAGAAGGGAGGGGAUCUAUCGGAAUCCCAUAUCCGUAGUUCCAAAUAUAAAUACUUAGCAGCAACAUGAAGAAUAUUCAGCAAAUCUCAAAGUACUUAAUACAAUUACUUCUAUGAAAGCUGGAAAGGUGCAAGUUUUAAAUUAUCUACUACAAUUGAACUAGAAUAAGAAUAAGCACAAUGGAACUGGUUCUUCCAUCUUGUUGAAGUAGCUGCAGGCGUGCACACUCAAACUCACAUAAAUUGCAUGCAAAAUAACCUUACUCUCUUGCUCUCAAUUUUUCUUAACUUCAGCAUAUGUGCAUACCUUUUAAAGAGAACAACUCAGUUAUUUAUUAGAUUAGUAAUUAGAGUUGGAUUGUGACUCAACUUCUGAGCCUCCAUUGAGUUUAAGUCCUAGACCAAUCCAAACUUCAACCCUUAUCCAGAUGUGUUCUCUUCUCAUAAGGAGACAUCUUCUCCUUAUCCCAUAUGCAAUCUUUUUGAUCAGUUCAUAAGAUAUUCAGAAGAUAUUGUUGCUUGAUCCCCGACGACUUAUCUUCUUAACGUUCAUCUCAUAUGUAUGGUCCAUAACAAUUGUGUCUCGUAUGAUGGACCUGGUCCUUUACUGAGUUCAUUUGUCAUUUUUCAAAACUUCAACUGAUCAUGGGCCAACAAAUUCCCCCCUUUUUGACGAUGACAAACUCUGUGCUUUCACUGAUCAGAGAACCUGUAGAACUCAGCUAAAAUAUCAUCAUUUGAAAAAUUUUAACUUAUCAUUAAGGGCCAGAUUUAAUAAGGUCAUAAAAAUCAUUGUUCAUAAAAAAAUAAACACAAUAUCUUUUUAAUAACAAUACACAAUAUCUUCCCCCUUUUGGCAUUAUCGAAAUGUUGUAUAAACAUGUGAAUCUCAGAAUAUUAAUCAUUACUCAUGGCCACUGGGCAACUGCAAGUGAAAGCCUGCUUUAGUUAAUCAAAAAUCAACUUGACAAACAUAACUAUUAAGAGCAGAGUCAUCAUAAAACAAGAGAAAUGCAAAUUGUCGUUGAUAAGGCAUUGCUUAUAAAAGACAAUCCACAAAAAGAAAGAACAAAAACAACCAACCAUGAACAAAAAUAAGAAAAAUUCCUAAUCUGGGUCACUGGGGGGUAAUUGAACUGGUUCAGAACAAGGACAAAGAGGGCUAAGGCUUUGAGGAACUAGAGGGCUUGGAUUGGAGUAGGUUGAGCAUUUUUGUAUCAUCCCUUCACUCUUUUCCUUUUCUUUUGCUAGUUCUGCUUUCAGUCCAUUCCAUUCUUCUUCUAACUCAGCCACACGAGCCUGAAGCCUAGCAAUCUCAGAAUCUUUGGUCCCACAUUCUUGAACCAAAGCCCUAGCUUUGCUAUUCACUGGAGUCUUCACUGAUGAACCAGGUUCAGCAUGGGCUACACUUAGCAGAUAGUCACAGGCCUGGAGAGUCUUGAUUCCAAAGAUCUCCUUACUAUAAGCCAUUUUCCAUUUCUUCAGAGGAAUGUUCAAUCUGUCCAGUAUAGUUGUCAGAAUGAAUCCAUUAAUGACUCUAUCCAUCAGGUUGACUAUGAAAGCAGGCCAGUUAAUCUGCUUACCCCUCACAAGAUAUUCCAUGAGAACCAGGUUCAUGUAAUUUGCAGUGUGUCUCCUCUCCUGUCUAGGAAGUAGGCACUUGUUCACAAACUCAAAGAUCACUUUAUGCUCUAGCUUCAUUUCACUCUUUUGAACAAAUCUUGCUUCAGGCACCUCUUCAGCAUCCUUUGUACCACUGAAGUUCCUGGUAAUUUGGAGUGAUGUGGGCAGAUCAUCUAGAAAAUGCCACCUUUGCCUGGUGUAAUCAUCAUAGCCCUCACUUGGAAUGUCUAGAAUCCUGCCCAAUUCAGGCACCUCUUCAGCAUUCUUUGUAUCACAGAAGUUCCUGGUGAUUUAGAGUGAUGUGGGAAGAUCAUCUAAACAAGGCCACCGUUGCUUGGUGUAAUCAUCAUAGCCUUCACUUGGAAUGUCUAGAAUCCUGCCCAAUUCAGGUGCAUCAAACUUCACUUUCACACCUUUCACCACACUGGUCACUAGCCUAUUUUUCACAAACCCAUUUGCCAUGAAUUCAAUCAGCUCUCUUCUGGCUAGUCUUCCAUCCAUCUGAAGGACCAUGUCCUUCCAACCCUGUGCAGCUAAAACAUCCAACAACCUAAGCAUGUCUGGCUCCUCCAGGUCUUUCAGCAGCCUUACCUUCAAUAUCUUCCUCCUGCUAAAUAACAAAGCGAUCUUGCUCUUGUUCAGACUCCUCCUCUUUUUUAAGCAUGCCUGGCUCCUCCAGGUCUUUCAGCAGCCUUCCCUUCAAUAUUUUUCUCCUGCUAAAAAUAACAAAGCGAUCUUGCUCUUGUUCAGACUUCUCCUUUUCUUCUUCUCCACUCCACUCUUCAUUUUCUUUUUCAGUAAUUUUCACUUGUUUUCCCUUUACAGCAGACCUAGUUCUUUUAGCCAAAGAAGGUUUAGCACGUACAAAUUUUGAAGACUUCUUUGUAUGAGUCUUGGUUCUUUUUGGUUUGUACUAUAAAUUCUCAAAACGGAAAAAAAAGGAGUAACUUCUCUUAUGAUAAAGUACUAUCUACUUUUAUAAUAAAUAAAAUCUCAUUUAUAAACUCUCACAUGUCAUGUAUUUAAAUUAAAACUUAUCACGACCAUAGAAAAUCAUAUCUAUCAACUUUUACCGAAAAUAGUUUACUUCAAAGAAAAUAAAUAUCAAGCCAAAUAUAUAGUAGUUCCGAAAUUCUUCAAACUUUCAGGGUCUUAAAUCCAUAUCUUCACGCAUAACCUUAAUCCCUUACAACAUAUAUGUUAUUACUUCGAUGAAUCCUAAUAUUAAAGUAUGGGAUAUAAUAAACUUGUAAAAUUUUAACAUUCAAUCAAUUAUAUUUUUAAAGUUACGAGUUUAUAUAUGCUAUUUUUGCAUUUUUACAUAUAAUUUUUAAUUCUGCAUCGAAAGUUAUGGAUUUAAUUUAACAUGUUAUUCGCACACUACAUCCAACUCUACUUCUAAAUAUAUUUUUCACUUUUACUUGUCCAUUUUAGAAAAUUAAGAGAAUUUUUUUCUUCUUGAUUUACCCUUGUCAUUAAUUAUUUACAAAUCACUUCUCAAUACUUUCUAAAAUGUUAUCAUUAUUAUGGGUAAAGUUGUAAAAUAUAUUUUUAUUUAUUUUUUGUUAAAGGGAUUGCAAAGUUAAAAGUAGACAACUUAAAAAUGAAUAAAUGGAGUAGAAAUUAAUUUUUGGAACUAAGAACUCCGGAAACACUGAAAAAUUUCUCCUAGAGUCCGAACGGCACAUUUCUAACUCUCGAAACUCGGUAACAUGGAGUGUUUUUGUAUUUUAGUUAAAGAUAUUUUUGUCUAAAUUUUAUUUUCGCAUUAACAAAGUUGGUAUUUCUCAAUUACAUUUCAAAUUGGAGCUAAAUAUUAAGAAGCAUUCCAAGGAUCCCACCCACUUUUAACUGUUCUCUCUCAUCGUUGAUUUUAAGAGAGUUGACCUUUUACUGAUACAUAGAGAAGAAUAUUACAUCUGACCUUUUCUUUGUAUGACCUGGCCAUUUUUCAAAGGAUGAAGAAAUAUUUCACCAUAUGAAAUGGAAUUAUUGAAAAAAGAAAACAAGGAGAAUGAUUGUUGUAUAAUUUUUCCUUAUAACAGCAACUUCUCUCUUUUAAAAAAACAACGUUGCAACGAGGAAAAUUCUUGGUGCCUGCUACUGAGACGUAAAUAUUUUUUAAGUCAGAACUGUCCCCAGUCAAGUCAAGUCUUGUUAUUUUUUCAAGUCCGCACACUUUGACAACAACUUCGCCUCAGCGGAAAAAUAAUUGCAUUUAGUCAUCUAAUAACCCCAUCCUCUAAGGGAAAGAUUAAUUUAAUUUUUUUUUCUUCUGCAAAGUAAGCACAAGAAGCAAUGGAAGCCAUAAAUAUUCAUUUCUUGUUGUUUUUCAUAUUGAUUCUUUAUGGUGCUGCAGAUACCAUACCAGUAGAUCAGCCUUUAACAGAUGGAAACACCAUUAUUUCAUCAGGUGGAAAGUUUGAGUUGGGAUUUUUCUCCCCUGGCACAUCCAGGAAAAGGUACGUCGGAAUAUGGUUCAGCAAAGUUUCUGUACAGACAGUGGUAUGGGUUGCUAAUGGAGACAGUCCACUCGAUGAUAGAAAUGGUAUGCUAAAUUUUACAAGACAAGGAAUGCUUGUUCUUCUUAAUGGCUCCGGCCAUGUCAUUUGGUCCUCCAAUGCUACCAGGCAUGCGCAAAAUUCAACAGCGCAGCUUCUUGAUUCAGGUAAUCUUGUUGUUCGAGAUGCGACAGUGAAUUACUUGUGGCAGAGUUUUGACUAUCCCACUGACACAUCUUUGCCUGGAAUGAAGGUUGGAAUCGAUCUUAAGACUGGUUUUCGUCGUUCCCUCUGGUCAUGGAAGAGCACAAAUGAUCCUUCCAGGGGUGAGUUUACUUGGACAUUCGAUCCUCAUGGAUUCCCACAGCCAUUUAUCAUGAACGGUUCCAUUGAACGCCACAGGUUUGGACCAUGGAAUGGUCUAGGAUUUGCUAGUGCAUCAUCUCGGCUACCAGGUCCUGGUUAUAAAUAUACAUAUGUAUCCAAUCCUGAGCAAAUAUCUAUCAUGUAUGAGCUCAUAGACAGCUCUAUCUUUGCAAGGGUAGUGAUGCAGCUAGAUGGGGUUCUACAGCUUUCAUUAUGGAAUAAUCAAACACAGAAUUGGGAUAAUUACUUUGGUAGCGCACCAGCAGAUGACUGUGACAUUUACAGUCGGUGUCACGGAUAUAGUUUGUGCAAUAAUGGCAACUCUUCAAUCUGCAGCUGUUUGGAUCAGUUUGAACCCAAAAACCCGACAGAAUGGGCAAGGGAAAAUUGGUCAAGUGGCUGUGUUAGAAAGACAACAUUGAAUUGUCAAAAGAAAGUUAAAUUCUUGAAGUAUCCAGGCAUCAAGUUGCCAGACACUCGUUUUUCUCGGUACAACCAUGGAGUGAAUCUUAGUACAUGCGAGGAAUUGUGCUUGAGAAACUGUUCGUGUGUCGCAUAUGCAAAUCCAGACAUAACAGGGACAAAUGAAGGCUGCUUGCUUUGGUUUGAUGAGCUGAUCGACAUCAGAGAUCUUGGUGCUAGUGGGCAAGAUAUCUAUAUAAAGUUGGACUCUUCCCAGUCAGGUACAAGUCUGCUACUUUAUUUGUGCAUGUAAGACUGUAAAGAAAGCUACAUUAGAUUCUAGACAAAACUAAAUGUCAUAAAAUGUGCAAGAUGAGGCCUGAGGUUUUUCAACAUCAUUUAAAAUUAACAAAAAAAAAAAAAAAAUUCCUACUUAUGAAACUCAGAUGAAUUUAUUUGAAUCCUCAGAGAACUCCAGCUUAGAGAAAGUAAAGAAAUUGAGAAUCAGCUUGCCGUUGGCAAUAUCGAUUCUUCUCUUAGCAUUAUGUUUGAUCUUGUACAUAAAGCAAAAGAAGAAGAAGAAGAAAAAUGUGCCAGCUGAGGCCUGAGGUUUUUCAACAUCAUUUAAAAUUAACAAAAAGCAAAAAAUAUUUCCUACUUAUGAAACUCAGAUGAAUUUAUUUGAAUCCUCAGAGAACUCCAGCUUAGAGAAAGUAAAGAAAUUGAGAAUCAGCUUGCCGUUGGCAAUAUCGAUUCUUCUCUUAGCAUUAUGUUUGAUCCUGUACAUAAAGCAAAAGAAGAAGGAGAAGAAGGAUCAGGAUCAGAUACAUUUUGGCGAAGGUACCAGACGUUUUUCUGCUUCGAAAUUUGUGUUAUGUGGCUUAACUAAAUGUGCUUUAAUUUCUGGAUUCAUUUAGUCUCAGGAAUUUUCUGUUUACGUUGAGUUAAGUCCUUAUUUUCAUCAGGAAAAGGAAGAAAGAUCUCUGAAAUGUUCUACACCAAUGAAAGUAAAGAUGAAGUUCCAGAUGUACCGUUGUUUGAUUUUGCGACCAUCUUGGAUGCUACCGAUAACUUUUCACUGAACAACAAGCUUGGAGAGGGUGGUUUUGGUCCUGUUUAUAAGGUAACAAAGUUAGGGGCCACUCUUUCUUUUUCCUUCAAACUAACUACCCAACAACUGCAGUACAUUAUCUUAUGAUGGAACGUUGACUAUCUUAACUUCAAAACAUAAGUUUUGGUUAGAAAAUUUAUCUCCAAUUCUCCUAUUUCCCUUAAACAACAAUGUGAUAUUAAGUAACCAACAUUCUGGAGAAGCUCUUUCAUCUAAUUGCAUGAUGAUAUCUAGGGUAUGCUGAAAGAGGGACCAGAAAUUGCAGUCAAGAGACUUUCAAGAUACUCGGCCCAAGGGACUGAUGAGUUCAUGAAUGAAGUUAUCUUCAUUGCCAAACUCCAGCAUCGGAAUCUUGUUAAGCUUCUUGGUUGCUGUAUUCAAGCAGAAGAAACAAUGUUGAUUUAUGAAUACAUGCCUAACAGUAGUUUGGAUUGGUUCCUUUUUGGUUGGUUCUCACCUUAUUUAUUCCUGUAGCACAUUUAGCUUUCAUGAAUUAUCUAGUAAAGAAGCAAAAUCAUAAGCUUUCGAUUUCUGCAGAUAGAGAUCGGAGCUUACUACUUGAUUGGCCUAAGUGCUUCCAUAUUAUUAAUGGAAUUGUGCGAGGACUUCUCUAUCUUCAUCAAGACUCAAGAUUGCGGAUAAUCCACAGAGAUCUUAAACCUAGCAAUGUUUUGUUAGAUAUUGAUAUGAACCCAAAGAUAUCUGACUUUGGAACGGCGAGAAGUUUCGGAGGAAAUGAGACUGGAGCAAGGACAACCAGAGUGGUUGGAACAUAGUAAAGAUCUUAAGAAGUUGCGGAGGAAAUGAGACUGGAGCAAGGACAACCAGAGUGGUUGGAACAUAGUAAAGAUCUUUAAACCAAUGAACAAAUUCCUCUUCACUAAAAAGCUACUUACUUUCUUUUGUUUAAUAUUGUCCUGCAGUGGCUACAUGUCUCCAGAGUAUGCAGCAGAAGGAAAAUUUUCAGUGAAAUCAGAUGUAUUUAGCUUUGGAGUUGUAGUACUGGAGAUUUUAAGCGGGAAGAGAAAUAGAGGGUUCUCCCAUCCAGACCAUCACCAUAAUCUUUUGGGGCAUGUAUAAACUCUUCCUGUCUAUCUUAAAACUCAGGUUGGUAAAACUUAUAGCAUCUAACUGCAUGAUAUCAAAUGUUCAGGCGUGGAUCCUCUUCAAUGAAGGCAGGGUUUUGGAACUAAUAAAUGCACAUCUAAGGGAGUCAAGCAACCUGUCUCAAGUGCAACGAUCAUUCCAUGUAGGUCUAUUGUGCGUGCAGCAAUGUCCAGACGAUACCUAGCAUGUCAUAAAUCUGAAUUUCACCUAUUGAUAAAGUAGUCUUGCUAAAGACACCCGAAUCGGAUGUACCAGAUAAUAAAUUGCAAUCACAUGCCAUCUCACAUCACACAAGGAUAUGAAUAUAGGCAUUUAAGGAAGCACGUAAGAACUGAGCAAACAUGACAAACAAACUAAAGCUUACAGUUCAUCUAGCACGCAAGGUGAAAGUUCUGUAAAUGACAUAAGCAUCACAAUGUUGGAUGCUAGAUAGGAGAUGACUGUUUGCUUCCAGAGGCCUUAUUUACUCAAGAGCAUCCAGUUGGUCAACUUAAUAAAGAAUUUUGUGUCCAAUAGCAAUGUGUCCUCUGUCCGGUAUCCAUCAUAGAAAUUGCAAAAGGGGUAUGUUGCUGCCGUUUGAAAGGAUUAAUAGCCUGUUUGGCCAUGCUUUUUUUGGCAAAAAGCACUUUUGGCCAAAAAUUGAGGUGUUUGGCCUAGUUUUUGGAAGAAAAAAAAGUGUUUUUGAGGAGAAGCAGAAGCAAGUUUGGAGAAGCAGAAAAAUGUGGAUUCUCUCCAAAAGCACUUUUCUGAGAAGCACUUUUGAGAAAAAUACACUUAGAAGCAGUUUUCAAAAGUUUGACCAAACACUAAUUACUGCUCAAAAGUGCUUUUCUAAUUAAUUAGUCAAACACAAACUACUUCUUACCAAAAGCACUUUUUCUAAAAGUACUUUUGAGAGAAGCACUUUUCAAAAUAAGCUGAUUUUAGAAGCUUGGCCACCCAAGUAAAAGUAAUGUCUAAACCUCCUGCUCUGAUUGGCACAAAGCACAAGAGAGAUGGUCAAAUGUGAACAAGUUCUUUUUUAGUCUAUUCUUCACUCAAGGAAAAUAUCUAUAUAUUUCCUUUUCGCUCAGACCUGCCUGAUUUUGAAAUCUGUUAGUGCUGUAGUUAAUUUGCAUCUGAUUUCUUGAAACUAAACAUUCAAGUUAGUCCCUUACCUCUUCGGGAAGGUUAUGUUAUUUCAUGAAAAGGUUUAAUUUGAAAGGUUGUGUGACUGACUUUUCAUGAAAGGAUUUAUCUGUUGAAGAUAACCCUUAAUAAAGAUAAGACUGGACAUGAGUGGGUGUCUUUGUUGUUCCAAAAAUAAUAAGACUUGUCAUUUUUCAAUGAGAAGAAGGUUGCCAGAUAUUAUUUUCAGAAUUACAAAAGGAGUUCCAAACUUUAGAAAAGAACUCGUGAAUUGUUGAUAAUAACUUUUGAAGGGAAAAGAUUAUGAAACCAGACUGUGAAAUGUGGUUGGGAAGUGAAAACUAGUGCUUCCAAGUUCUUUGUAACAACAUGGAUGAAGAAACGUUUAGUUUCCUGGAGUCUAGGAAAUUCGUUCUGGCUCCAUUUUUUCAUUCGAAAAAACAAUUUAUAGAAUUAAGGAAACCCGGUACAAUUUCACACGGUGCGAUAUGAGGAAGGUAAUGUGUACGUGAACCUUACCCUUAUCUUACGAAGAAAUAGAAGUUGUUUCCGAUAGACCCGUGACUCAAAAACAAUGAAAAAGACACAAUAAACAAAUAGUAACAAUGGCAAAGAAAUAAGAUAGCAGAAAUAAAUAGCAUGACCCGUAAUAGCAAAGGGACUAGGAAUACGAAGCUACAAGAGAAGUGCGAAAACUACCGGCACUAAUGCCACAUCGUCUAACAACAAGGAACUCGGAAUAAGCAAAUACAAGACUAGUACUACUACCACUAGUAGACUAGAAGAGAAUCUCGAUUAUCCGUCAAACCCACGACCCUAUUCCUCGACUUUCACAUCCCCUAUCGAGGGUCAUGUCCUCGAUAAAUUGAAGUAAUGUCAUGUCCUGCCUAAUCAUCUCUCCCCCGUACUUCCUAGGCGUCCCUCUACCUCUCCUCUACCCGGCUAUGGUCAACCUCUCGCAUCUCCUCACCGAGACAUCAUAGCCGAACCAUUUCAGCCUCGAUUCCCGCAACUUGUUGGCCACACCCACCUUGUCCCUAAUAACUUCAUUCCUAAUUCAAUCUUUCUUGGUAUGCUCACACAUACAUCUCAACAUCCUCAUCCCUGCUACUUUAAGAGUAGCAAUCAAGAAACUUCACGCUUAAGAAAAAAGAUUUAAAACUGUAGCUUUAAUAUUAACGACCAAAAUAGGUUGUAGAUGCACAUCAUGGACGAAUUCUCAUACUUUACACCUAAUCUUGAAAGCUCAUAAAUCAUUUGCAUAAUCAUAAUGCUUUCUGUCAUCUCAAUAAUUAUUAUAAAGAUAUAAACAUAACCCUAUCACUCUAAUUCACCAAUAUGCACGUACUUAUAGUUGAGUUGUGAAGUUCAUGUUCUACGUAUGACAUAAUGCAAUUAAUUCAAUAUAUAUAUAUAUAUCCGAAACUGAUUCCAUGUGCAGUGUUCUGAUCUAGAAUUCUAAUUAUACAAUUCUAUAGAGUUCCGGUUAAAGGGUAAGGUUUCCAUUAUUAAAUUAUAUUUUUAUCUCCACAACCUCACAAUUACAACAAUGUCAGCCAUUAUUACGUGUUCCCAACUCAAUCCUUGUCACUACGACAAAUAUAAUUCAUAAUGAUUUCUUUUCUUACGUCAAAGAAUACAUGUUUUGAGGCGAACAUAAUAAUAUACCUAAGUACCAAUAUUGAGUUGAACAGUUGUCCUCUCCUAGCUCUCGAUUCACAACGCCAUCUACUCCACCAGAGACCCCCUGUAGCCUUUUCUUUCAAUUACAGUACCGAUGUCACUCUGCUUUCUCUAGGUAUCUUUUGUUCACUUAUUUAUUUCUCAGGCGUGACUUUAAAGUUUAAACCUGGCAAAAAGAAGAAUGGGUUUCGCCCACUUUUGUCUAACAAACCCCAAACAGACCUACUUUGGGAAAUUAAUAUUUAUGUUCAUUGAUAAGUAGUUCAUUAUAAAAAUUGAUCAAUUAAUAAAAUAUUACUAAUAUUAGCCAAUUAGUUAUUUAUAGUAAAAAAUAUUAAAUUUUUGCUUUGUUUUGAGUGAGUGUUAGAAUAGAUUGAGUACAACUUAAGGAGCUUAAUCUCAGUUUUGGGAUGAUUCGGUGAAGUUUUGAGGUGGUUUGAAUUGAAAAUUCAACAUAAAAAAAUCAUUUGUGUAUCACAUAUGUAUCAUAUUUGUAUCAAUUGUGUAUCACAUGUAUAUCCAUAUAUACCUGUGUGUGAGAUACAUGUUUGAUACUUGUGUCGCAUAAUUUUUUUUUGAACUCGACUUAAUUAAGAAUUUUGAUACAAAACCAGUCCAAAUCACCUCCAAUCUUCCUCAAAUUUUGUAUAUUGACUUAUCUAUAUAUUUUCAAUGAAUUUCAACUAUACACGCUGAAAAAGUUCCUUUUUGCUUAGAUUUUUGGAGUAUUGUAUAGAUUUUUAUAUUUCAUCACCUUAUUUGUUACCCCGCCCAUGAAAUUUUAUUUCCGUAUUGUAAGUAAUGUUUCUAAUCACGAUUAUUUGAUAAAAAGAACCCUAUUAUUUGGUUUUUCAAUUUUUGUUGGCUAGUUUUGGUAAGUCUAUAACUAAUGGCUAGAGGUUGGCAAGUUGAGAUUUAUUUGGGACAUUUGUGUAAGUUUCCCUACUAAUUUAUCAUUAAUCAUAUAUAAUAUAAAAUUUGGCUUACUAUCCACCUAUUUUAUUAUUGUUUACCACUAAAUCGGAUAAAAAUUAAAUUUGUGCGCUGUUUUAAGAAUAUGUGAUUUGAUUCAACAUAACAAAUCAAGAAUAUUAGAUAAAUGAGUUAAAAACAAAAUAUAUGAUUAAACAAGUUGUAAUGUUAAGGUCAAGCCCGAACUUUGAUUGAACAGUGACCCAAUUGUGAGUGAAGAACAUAACAAUUAAAUAAGAACCUUAGCAGUAGCUAUUUAUACGGUCAAAAUGUAUGCAUCCGAUUUAUAGGCCUGAGUUUGGGCGGGGUCAAGUUCGAGACCGGCUGACCAUACUCGAACUCGAAGACAGAGUGCGAUGCCCGGAGAUAUGAGUGUGAGGAAUACUGGGUCCAAGUGUGCUCGAUCCGAAAUAUUAUCGUUAGGAAUUUGUACUAGAACGAGCUAGAUUCCUACCAACUCCCCAAAGUCAUUGCGCAAAUCUCGAAAUAGGAUUGUACGAUUCCGUACUAGACUGUUAGACAGUUAUACCAAGAAUAUUCCUUACUGUAAAUAGAGUUAUACCUUAUUUGGGGGUUCCCUAUUAUAUAAAAGGGGACUUCAAUGAUUUGUAAGAUCAUCUUAUCAUUGAGAAAAGAAUAUACUCUCUACCUUUUUGCCUACUGUUCAUCAGUAUUAUCCUUUAGCUUUACUGUUCUUACUUUACUUUUUCUUACUUAAUUGUUCUUAUUGCCCUAAAACCACCUCGAGGUCACUAAACUCGAGGUCACUAGUGUUUGAGUAACACUGGUUUGAUUCACUUCUAUCUUUUAUUUCUACUUCAUAUUUCUUGAUUCCUAAUUGGUAUUGGACAACAUGUUUCAGCCUAAUCUGAACUCCUUCGUUAUUGUAUUUAUUGAUGAUAUUCUGGUGUACUCGCGUAGUCAGGAGGAGCACGAUGAGCAUUUGAUAGUUAUAUUACAACGGUUGAGGGAGGAGGAUCUUUACGUAAAAUUCUCCAACUGUUGGCUUAGUUCAGUGGCAUUCUUGGGACACGUGGUGUCCAAUAGGGGUAUUUAGAUAGACCCGAAGAAGAUAGAGGCGGUACAUAUUUUGCCCAGACCGUCCUCAGCCAUAGAGAUUCGUAGCUUUCUUGGUUUCGUGGGUUAUUACCGUCGGUUCGUUCUGGGAUUUUCAUCUAUUGCAUCACCUUUGGCCAAAUUGACUCAAAAGGUUGCUCCUUUCAGGUGGUCGGAUGAGUGUGAGACGAGCUUUCAGAAGCUCAAGACUGCCUUGACCACAACUCCAGUGUUAGUUUUACCAUCAGCUUCAGGUUCUUAUACAGUAUAUUAUGAUGCUUCUCAAAUCGGCAUCGUGUGUGUGUUGAUGCAAGAGAGUAGAGUGAUUGUUUAUGCUUCUAGUCAGUUGAAGCCACAUGAGAAGAACUAUCCUAUUUAUGAUUUGGAAUUGGCUGCCUUUGUUCACACGUUGAAGAUUUAGAGGCAUUAUCCCUAUGAUGUGUCUUGUGAGGUGUUUACUGAUCAUCGUAGCCUCCAGCACUUGUUCAAACAGAAGGAUCUCAAUUUGAGGCCACAGAGAUGGUUGGAGCUGCCAAAAGACUAUAAUAUUACUAUCUUGUACCAUCCGGGAAAGGCCAAUGUAGCUGCCAAUGCCUUGAAUAGGAAGGCAGUGAGUAUGGACAGUUAUUUGGCAUGUAGUCCUGUUAGGGAGAGAACUUUUGCAGUUGAUGUUCAGGCUUUGGACAAUCGGUUUGUGAGGUUGGAUAUUUCGUAGUUCAGUCGGAUCUUAGCUUGUGUGGUUUCUCGGCCUUCCUUGUUUGAUUGUAUCAUAGAGCGCCAGUACGAUGAAUCUCAUUUCCUUGUUUUCAAGGAUAAAGUUCAGCACGGAGAUGCCAGAGAUGUGACCAUUGGUGAUGACGUGGUAUUAAGGAUGCAGGGUCAGAUAUGUGUGCCCAAUGUAGAUGGGCUACGGGAGUUGGUUCUGGAGGAGGCCCAUAGUUCGCGGUAUUCCAUCCAUCGGGGUGCCACGAAGAUGUAUCAGGAUUUAAGACAACACUAUUGGUGGAGGAUAAUGAAGAAGGAUAUAGUGGAGUUUGUAGCUCGGUGUCUCAACUGUCAACAAGUGAAUUAUGAGUAUCAGAGAUCGGUUGGCUUGCUUCAGCAGAUGGAUAUUCUAUAGUGGAAGUGGGAACGGAUCACCAUGGAUUUUGUAGUUGGACUCCUAUGGACUUGAAGAAGUUCGAUGCUAUUUGGGUUAUUGUGGGUCGGUUGACUAAGUCUGCGCACUUCAUUCUUGUGAGUACUACCUAUUCGUCAGAGCGGCAUGGUGUCCGGGUUUCCAUCAUUUCAGAUAGAGGUACUCAGUUUACAUCGUAGUUUUGGAGGGCCGUGCAGCGAGAGUUGGGUACUCAGGUUGAGUUAAGCAUAGCUUUUCACCCUCAGACGGACGGGCAGUCCGAGCGCAUUAUUCAAAUAUUGGAGGACAUGUUGCGCGCUUGUGUCAUUGAGGGGUUCAUGGGACCAGUUUCUACCACUCGUGAGUUUGCAUAUAAUAAUAGUCAUUAGUCGAGUAUUUAGAUGGAUCCAUAUGAGGCUUUAUAUGGGAGGCGGUGUAGAUCUCCAGUGUGUUAAUUUGAGACGGGAAAGGCUAGGCUUUUGGGUACAGACUUGGUACAGGAUGCUAUGGACAAAGUGAAGGUGAUUCAAGAGCGACUUCGUACGGUGCAAUCGAGACAAAAGAUUUAUGCUGACAGGAAGGUUCGGGGUGUAUUUUACAUGGUUGGGGAGAAGGUUCUACUAAUAGUUUCACCCAUGGAGGGUGUUAUGAGAUUUGGGAAUAAGGGUAAGUUGAGCCCUCGGUUCAUUGAGCCUUUUGAGGUGUUUGGGAGGACCGGGGAAGUGGCUUAUGAGCUUUUUUUGCCAUCUAGUUUGUCGAGUAUGCACCCAGUAUUUCAUAUUUCUAUGCUUCGGAAGUAUAUUGGCGAUCCGUCUCAUGUUUUGGAUUUCAGCACUGUUCAGUUAGAUGGUGAUUUGACUUAUGAUAUGGAGCCAAUGGCUAUUUUGGAGCGGCAACUCCGAAAGUUGAUAUCAAAGGAUAUAGCUUCAGAGAAAGUGCAAUGGAGAGGUUGGCCCGUGGAGGAGGCUACUUGGGAGACCGAGAGAGAGAUGCGGAGCAAAUAUCCACACCUGUUUGAGGCUUUAGGUAUGUUUCUUGACUCUUUCGAGGACGAACGUCUGUUUAAGAGGGAGAGGAUGUAACGAUCCAGCCGAUCCUUCCAUGAGUUAUAUCCCCAUUUCCCCACUUCUGCUUCUUUGUGUGCUCCUCAGUUGUAUUUCAUUGUAUUGUGUUAGUUGGUUCGGGUUCGGUGUAGUUUCGAUGUGGAAUGAGACACUUAGUCUCCUAAUAAGAAGUUUAAGUUGGAAAAGACAAUCAGAUGUUGACUUAUGUGUAGAUGAUAUCAGAUGUUAAUUCUGAUGGUUUGGUUAGCUCCGUUAGGUGAUAUUGGACUUGGGAGCAGGUCCGAAAUGUGAUUUGGAGGUCCGUAGUAGAUUUAGGCUUGAAUUGACGAAAUUGAAAUUUGGUAUUUCCCGACAGCAAUGGAAAUUUUGAUAUCGGGGUCGAAAUAAAAUUCUGGAAAUUGGAGUAGGUCCAUAGUGUUAUUUUUUACGUGUGUAAAUUUCAGGUCAUUCGGACGAGGUUUGAUAUAUUUCGGCAUUUGUUUGCAAAAUUCGAAAGUUUGGAAGCUAUUAGGCUUGAAUCUGAGGGUGAUUUCGUGUUUUGAUGUUGUUUUGAGCGUUCCAAAGGUUGGAAUAAGAUUGAUUGGUGAUAUGUGACUUGUUGGUAUUUUUGGUUGAGGUCUCAAGGGUCUCGAGAUGAAUUCGGAUGGUUAACGAAAGAGUUGAAAUUCAGAUGGUGCAGCUGAAGCUGCUGCUUCUGAUGUUUCCGCACCUACGGAUUGGUGGCCGCAGAUGCUAAAGGGAAAUCGCAGAUGCAGAAUUGGCCAACCGAAGCUUGCGUUCAGGUGCAGAGGUGUUGUCGCACGUGCGACCCUGCAUGUGCGAGGUGAGAGCCGCAGAUGCAAAAAUAGGCGGAUAGGUGGAAUCCGCAGGUGCACUCUUUGGACAGCGCAUGUGCGCGUAUCUGGACCGCAGAUGUGAGACUUCUGGGUAGAAAGUAUAAAAGCCAUACUUCGCGAAUUUUUUCUCUUUCUUCACCAUUGUUGGCCGGUUUUUGAGCUUUGGGCAGUGAUUUUCAAGAGGGAAUCGAGAGAUAUUAGUGAGGUAAGUUUCUUCGGCUCAAUUACUUGUGUUUAUGAUGAUUUCCCACGGUUUAAUCAUGAAAUUAGUGGGAAAUUGGGGUAAAGUCAAAGGGGUUAGGGCUUGAGUUUUGGAGAGUUUGAUUUGGGGAUUGAAGUGGCCAAUUGAGGUCGGGUUUUGAUGAAUUUGGUAUGGAUAGCCUCGUGAGUGAAAGGAGUUUCUAGUUUUGUGAUUUUGUCAGAUUCCGAGACAUGGUCCUAGGGCCGGGUUUGGCGAAUUUUGAGAUUUAGUCUUAAUUGAUAAUUUUUCGUAUGGAACAGGUUCAUUGGCCUAUAUUGAUUGUGUUGUAUUGCUUUUGGUCAGACUCGGGACGUUCGGAGGCCGAUUCUAGAGGCGUCGCAGAGUAGGAAUUCGAUCGAUUUGAGCUAAGUAAUAGGUAAGUAAUGAUUGUAAAUCUUGCUCUGAGGGAAUGAAGCCCCGGAUUUCACAUCGUUUCACUAUUUUGAGGUGACGCACAUGGUAAAUGACGAGCGUGUGGUGCACUAUUGGGAAUUGUGACUUGGUCCAUCUCGUAGCAAUUAUUAAGUUGCGUAUUUGGCUGGAAACUAUAUGGCACUUAUGUGUCUUAGAAAGAAUUUCUACAAUUAGGGUUGAAUGCCAUAUUUGAGUCUCGUGCCAAGUUGUUUGGACCUUUGGGGUCUUUUCUUAUUAUUUCCUUACUGUUUUGACUUAAGAUCUGUACUCAAUCAUGCUAUGUUUUACUGAUUUCAUAACUCGGCCUUUAUUACUUCGUUUUGAUGCAUAAAAUGAUAUUUUGGACUUAGCACCCUGCUUUACUGACUUGAGAGGUUCCUGACUAAGUAAGGCCGAGGGCCUGUGUGAGAGGAUAUUACGGGAUAGGGUUGUGCGCCGCAGUAUGUUGUUACCGAUUUGUGAUUAUGAGAAGCCGAGAGCCUGAUUGAUUUACGCCACGAGGUGGCUUGUUAUAGCUCUUUGGGGUUGUAUGAGCCCCUUCUGAGCCUGCACACUACGAGUGAGCGCUGGUACCCUGAGUGAGUGAUAUGAUGUUAUGCCCAGGGGCUGUUCUUGAUUCGUGUUAUGACCGAGGGACAGUUUAUGAGCGACUGUGAGGUUUGCCCGAGGCGCCGAUUCUUAGUGAUGUUAUGCCCGAAGUGCGGUUUAUGAUUCAUGUUGCCCAGGGGCUGUUUUUUAUUUACUCUAAAUUUCAUUGAGCAUUUGUUGAAAUUGUUUGAAAAGCAUCUUAAAAUGAUUUUUACCGAAAAGUGGAUUUUAAACAAGAUAUUUCGACUCAUAUACUGAUUUAAAAGCAUGUUGUGCUUACUGAGUUUUCAUGAUGUGGGUUUUAUGUGAUUUUUACUGCUCAGUCUUUAUUUACCUUUAUUACUUACUGUGUUGGCGUACUCACAUUACUCCCUGCAACUUGUGUACAAAUCCAGAGGUUGUUGGACGUGCUAGCAAGCAUUGAUCUUCAUCCGCCGCAGAUAUUUUGGAAUUGGCAAGGUAGCUGCAUAGCUAUCGCAGCCUUGUUCUCCCUCCUAUCUUCCUAUAGAUAUUAUUAGCUAAUUUCCAGACUAUUUUAGUCUUGUUAUAUUUUGAAACAGUUGUAGUAUUUGGUCAUGACUUAAUGACACCCGAGGUCGGGCUUUUAUUUCCGCUUUUUAGUUUUGAGUUUCUCUCUUUUAUGGAAAUUUCAGUACGAAAAAGGCUAUUAUUUAAAAUAAAAAAGAAAUGUUGAACUAUUUUGGAAAUAUGUCGGUUGGCCUAGUUCCAUGAUAGGCACCAUCACGAUCGAAUUGGUUUUGGGGUCGUGACAGCUCUGCUCUAUUUGGUUGCGCAUUCAGAUACAAUACAAAUGUAAACAAAUGGUUCAGAGUGAUAAAUUUUAGUGAGAAAACACAAUUUAGUUGACCUUAUAACAACUAAAAGUAUAUCGUUUUGAUAACUAGAAAGCAGUUGUAUAUAUACAUGCCGCCAACAUAGUAUGACAAAAUAUCAGGAACCAAAUUAAAAACCUUGACAGAGAAUGGAAAAACAGGAAGCAGCAAAACCGAAUCCAAAUUUGCAUUUACUGCAAGAACGUCCCAAGAUAGGCCUCCCUGGAAAGAAGAAUGCAGCAAUGAAUUAUGCGUGCUAGUCAGCAAUUUUAGUAGCCUAAUAAGGCAGCCGAUAAAUGGAAAGAAACCUUUGAAAACUUUCAUCAAUUUAUGUCCAGAAACCUCAAAAUGAUUUUAUCACUAUACAGGUCUCUCCCAUCCUCAACCUAGAACGCGUCGACCUCACCAUUGACGAACUCUAUCGGCCAGCUCCGGCGAAGGAUGACUACUGCCGGUGAAUGAAAACUAGUUUCGGCUAACAUACGAGUUAUCUUCGAGGUAGGUUAUCAAUUAUUCCCAUGUUUGAUGUUUGUAUAACUAUUCGAUUUUCUCUUUCUUUUUCCACUUAUGUUUUCUUUAUCUGGUAUUAGUUCUUGUAAACACAUUAUUUUGCUUCUGCUUUAUUUAUAUUACAUGAUACAUUUGUGAUUUAUAGUUUGCAAAGUUGAGGGAUUUAUUUGUUAGGUUUUGAUUUUCUGUUUGCAACUAUGAGAUUUUCUUUGUUCCAUGUUUGCUAUCGAUAUUCUCUUUCUUGGCUAUUUAGAAAAUAGUUUCGUUGCUCCUUUUUUCUUUCUCUGGUAUUAUUUCGGGGGCUUUUUCUUUCUCGGUUAAUUUUAUCUUUCGCUGCUCCUUUUUCUUUCUCCAUUUUCUCCUUUUUUCUUUCUCUGGUAAUAUCUAGGAAAAUCAUUUUGCUGCCCUAAUCUUUCUGGUAAUAUUUUAUGUGUUUCAUUUUUGCAGUCAAUGUUCGAUAUUCGCUGUGAUUUCUAGUUUGCAAAAUUGGGGCAUUUAUUUGUCAAGUUUUGAUUUUUCGUUUGAAACCAUGAGAUUUUUGUUCGAUGUUUGCUAUCGAUGUUGGAUAUUCGAUAUUCAUUGUUUGCUUUCUUGGUUAAUCAGAAAAAUCGUUUCGCUGCUCCUUUUUCUUUAUUUGGUAAUAUUUUUUAUAAACAUAUUCUUUUAGUUCUGUUCGAUUAUUCUAGUGUUGGUUUCACUUAAAAUUUGUGUGAUAUAUUCAUGUCUAUGCUUUAGUCUAAUGGGUAAGUGUUCGCCUUCACGUCUAUUAGACAUUGGGGUUACUCUUCUCAAACAAAUUGCUUGCCUUUGUAAAUUUUCUUGCUUGGUAAAAUGUUGCUAUCUAAUCCUUAAAAUCCAUCUAUAAACUUUCGGAAGUAAAGCUUUUAUCGACUUAUAGGUAGUUCGUCAAUCAUACUCUCAUAGUUGUAAUUAAUAACUUAGUGCAAAGAGCAAAAAGCUAUAAGCAUUUUGUGCAAGUUGUAAAUAUUUGAGGUCUUUUCUUUAUAAUUACGACAUAGGAACAUAAGUUACCCAUUUCCAAUUACAUAUUUUGUCCAAUUUUAUGAUGUUAUUUGGUCACAUUAUGUCUUAGAAUAGUAGAACUUUCCUAGGAAAAGUGAAUAUCCAAACGUCUUUCUAAACAAUUUUCUUAUGAGUGUUUAGAAUCCUAAACAAUAUUCUGAUCAGUAGUAGUUGUUGUAGGAGUUCUUCAUCCUCCGUUUCUUGUCUUGUCUGAUGAGUGUUUAGAAUUUGGUCUCAAUACAUCUUCUAAAUAAUAUUCUGCUCAUUUAUUAGAAAUGGCAUUUGUAACUUUUCCUAUGAGCCGAGGGUCGAUUGGAAACAACCUCUCUGCCCUUUCGGGUAGGGGUAAGGCUCGUCUACAUAUUACCCUCCCCAGACCCCACCUGGUGGGAGUAUACUGGGUAGUUGUUGUUGUUGUUGUUAUCUAUACUUCUGAAAUCCACACUAUUUUCCUUGAUCUCAGUGUUGACUUAUGCUGAAAAUGACUCGUGCAGAUCAGUGUUAAACCACAUGGAGCAUAAUCAAUAAAGCAUAAUUUGUUCAACUUAAGGAUAGACCUUCACAAAAAUGGAAGCAACCCUACCUUCAAAACAUCUUCAACAGUCAUUCCCCGUGUUAUUAGAUACAUCUUGGAAGUAUUGCAAAAUCGUCAUUCCACUUCACAGGAUAAUUUUUCAGGAAAAGACACAAGAUCAUCACUUCACAGGAUAAUUUUUCAGGAAAAGACACAAGAUCAUCAUUCUCCGAAUAGAUUGCUGAACAGUUACCAACCAAAAGCAUGCACCAAAUGAAAGCUGAUUACGAAAGAAGUUAGCUACUUUAUCCCCCCACCCCCCUCCCACCCCCCCACACAAAAACCAAAAAAAAGAAGAAGAGUAAUUAAAGCUAAGGCGAAGNNNNNNNNNNNNNNNNNNNNNNNNNNNNNNNNNNNNNNNNNNNNNNNNNNNNNNNNCACCCCCCCACACAAAAACCAAAAAAAAGAAGAAGAGUAAUUAACUACAUUAAAGAGCACAGCAGUUUUCAAGAAUUUAUCCAACGGCAAAAGGUAGAUCGUGAACAAAGUUACCAGCCAUAGCUACUAUAUACACGAGGAUAUCAUACAAUAAUUAUUCUUAGCGGUUCUGGUCAAGCAAUGACUUAUACAUACCUAGAAGAAUCACUUCUUAGUGGCAAACUCUCACGGCAGUAGCAUUCCGAAAGUGAUGGUUGCGUAGCAGCUUAUAGUUGCCAUUCAAUGGGAGGUAUUCCCAUCUUCUCCAAAAGUUGGUUUGUCUGUGAAAAAUGCCUGCAGAAGUAAUUACCAUAGGAGGCAUGAAAAACAGUUGAUAUUAGCUUCUAGUCAAUCUAAGCACGAAACUUCAUAAUGCAAGCAGAGAACUAAACAUGCCACAUCAAGACCACCUCCAGGCUCCAAGGCACAUCUGGAUAUAUUUCAUAUCUGCGAAAUGAACAGCUGAAAAGGUUCCUGACUAAGUAAGGCCGAGGGCAGAGAACUAAACAUGCCACAUCAAGACCACCUCCAGGCUCCAAGGCACAUCUGGAUAUAUUUCAUAUCUGCGAAAUGAACAGCUGAAAAGGAAAAAAAAAAAGGGGGGGGAGGGGGGUGGAGGGGGUAGUAGAGGACCUUACUCAUACUCUAGUUACCACAACGUAUCAGUCAACAAUUAAAGAAACUAAGACGCUUGGGAAUGUUAGAGCAUGCCAUUACAGAAAACCGCAGAAAUCUCAUGUUAGAAGAUGGCAUCUCCUCAAGUAAUGAGUAAAUGGCUGGAUAUUGGCCCCACUGUGACACCAUAUGCAACUGCACUCUAGCAAAAGAAAUUCAUCCAAUCACAUUACUGUUUCUGGGCAUCAUGUGAGCUGCCUGGCCCAUGCAAACAAGAGCAAAAAAAAUCAUAUCAUUUUACAGAGGAAGAUUCUGACGAUAAGCUGAUCCACAAUUUUUUCUUUUUUCUUACACAACAAAUAAAGAAUAAAUCAGAAGGAGAAGGAAAUCAUGGAUGACGAAGAAAAUAACUAUUUUUUGACUGAUCACCAUGAUAUAAAUUCCCUUUGUCUUUUUUGUGGGCGGGAGAGAAAAGAAGUUGUGAUUUCAGAGGAAACCAGGCUCUUGAAACAAAUAAAAGGCAGAUUGGUUAUGCAUUAUUCAUGUUGUCAUCCCCCCCCCCCUUCCAUGAGCAUAUUUUAUAUUACAUAAUGAGGAAUGUUUAGAAAAUAAAUAUUUAAUACAACAGUAACAAGUAAACUGAUAUAACAUGAUUACAGCACUCGAAUCUAUAAAAAGCAUGAAAUGCUUAGAGAUUUCUGUUGAAAUGAGUUUCUAAUUUUCUAUUGUCAAGGAAACACACCGACAUCCAAAGAAGCCUCUGUUUGCAGACAAACCAGAAGGGUGUGCUGAUUUGAGAACAUGGUGCCUUGUUUCAUCAACUAACCUGUAAAAAGGUUUGAAAAUGAUUAAUUAGGAGGGAAAAGAAAAGGUUUGUGGCUUCCCAUUUGAAUCUCAUCAGCAGAAUUUUCAAUCAAUUUCAAGAAAGUAGAAAUGAACAGCCCAACUCCAUUCCAGUGCUUCUAUUUAAAUUUGAGUUUUAGAUAGAAACUACAAGACAUUUUAAGAAAUCUUCAUUAGGCAUCCAAAUCAAUUACCUGAAUCAUAAACUUUAACCUUUUCAAAAUAAAAAUGGAAAAUCAAUACCUAACAUCUAAAGUUGUACCAGGGAUAACUCAAUGUGGUGUCACCUCAACUAGCUGCAUGUAAUCUGCAGCAUAUUAUUUCUAAGACAAGGAAAGGAAAAAUCAGAAAGAAUUAUAGGGAGUAAAAUAGGUCUACUAAUCAGGUGUUGAUGGUGUAACCGUUUCUCUUAAAAAAGAAAAAACAUAACAUAACAAAAUUGUUCCAACUCAACAAGAAUAUGAACUACAACAAUAAGCCCAGUGUAAUCCACAAGGUUUGAUGCAUAAGAAUGACCAGCUAUUUUUUCUGAAAUUUCGAGCAGGUUAGAAGAAACUAUACAAGUGCAAUAUGUUUUUCUCUUCAAAAAGUAUGACCUGAACAAAAAGUGCACCAGUUCGGAUGAUAUUCUGGUGGCACCUUCUCUAUAGAGUUCCUCAAGCACCCUUCAAUAAGAGCACUGAUUUGGAUGAUGCCAUUCUAUAUUUAAUCUAAAACUGUGAAUUUGAGUAAGACUGGUGAGAAGAAAAAUAUUCAGUGAAAUAUUCAAGAUGCCAUCACUUUAGGGAUAUAUAACACGUUUGGCACAAGGUGCAACCACUCUGAUGAUACUGAAGAAUUAACGGAAAACUUAUAAACAAAAUCCUUGGCAGGGGGUAAUUUUAAUUUGGAGAUCUAAGCUUGAGUGAAGAAUUUCAGUCAUAAAACUUCUGAAAGCAAAUGAUAAAUACAUGCUCUAACCGUUGCUCUCGGCGCAUGAUAGCAAGGAUUGCAAUUGUAGCCGGAAACAAUGGCUCGUCGCCGGAAAAAACGUGCCUACUACUAAUGCUCAGCUUAUUACUCCAGCUCAUGGUGUUACGAAGGAAUUACAACCACCGACUUUUGGAAGCUUUCUCCCACAGAAGUUCCAAUCGAUUGAGGAGGUUCAUGAAGAUGGCAGCUCUGAGGAUGAAGUACUAAUUCAAUCGAUUAAAGUGGAAGAAACAACUAACCUAGCUGUGAGACGCUUACAGUUUUCAGAAGCAAGUGGAUUAGAGAAACCAACUCCUACUGCUGCUGAGAUCGUUCGAGGGAAUCGUAGCUCACAAAUGGGUAAACCACUUUCAUUUGUUCUUCCAACUGAUAGAGAUGGUAAGAAGAUUGUCAAAUUAAGUGAAGAUGACUUGAAAUCACAGGUUGAUUAUUGGAAAACUUCUCUAAUUGGUUACAUAAUUGGAGAGAAUUCUUAUGAGAAAGCUAUGGAAAAUUUUGUGCUGAAUAUGUGGAAUUUUGUUACUAAGCCUCAUAUUCUGAUUCAUUUUGAGGGCUACUGCAUUUUCAAAUUCAACACUAUAGAGGAUAGAGAUCAAGUAAUCCAAUCAGGGCCUUAUACUUACAGGAACAAACCGAUGGUGUUUAAACCAUGGGAAAUUGAUUUUUCUUUUCAUAAGGAUAUGCUAAGUACAGUUCCUGUGUGGGUUUGGUUUCCUGGGCUACCUGUAGAUUAUUGGUCAACUGAAGCUUUGAGAAAAAUGGCUAGUGCACAAUGGAGUGGAGGUGGAUUACAGUGGUGCCCUUGUACAAGAACAAAGGGGACAUCCAGUGCUACCACAAUUAUAGGGGUAUCAAAUUAAUAAGUCACACCAUGAAGGUUUGGGAGCGAGUGAUCGAGGCGAGGGUGAGGGAGAUGACAUAUAUAUCUGUGAACCAGUUCGGUUUCAUGCCGGGUCGCUCCACCACAGAAGCNNNNNNNNNNNNNNNNNNNNNNNNNNNNNNNNNNNNNNNNNNNNNNNNNNNNNNNNNNAAUUAUAGGGGUAUCAAAUUAAUAAGUCACACCAUGAAGGUUUGGGAGCGAGUGAUCGAGGCGAGGGUGAGGGAGAUGACAUUUAUAUUUGUGAACCAUUUCGGUUUCAUACCGGUUCACUCCACUACAGAAGUUAUCUACCUUGUCAGGAGGCUGGUGGAGCAGUUCAGGGAUAAGAAGGACCUGCACAUGCUGCUUAUCGACUUGGAGAAGGCGUAUGACAAGGUCCCAAGUGAGGUGCUAUGGAGGUGCUUGGAGGCGAAGAGCGUGCCGGAAGCCUACAU